This 48821-nucleotide long non-coding RNA is filed under the name Triticum aestivum (bread wheat). RNAcentral's name for it is "long non-coding RNA (TAES_LNC004785)". The stretch from base 26592 to 26678 matches the Rfam family "MIR1120/MIR1122 microRNA precursor family". The record is from RNAcentral. Lineage: Eukaryota; Viridiplantae; Streptophyta; Magnoliopsida; Poales; Poaceae.
UGAACUUCUCGCACGGUUGUUGGCGCUGCAGCAAUGUAAUCAAAUGACGUCAAGAUGAUCAGUCCGUUUACUUUUGCUGCCUGGGAAGAAUUUGAAGUGAACUUCGGUGUCUUCUGUUGCUGGUUGUGUUGGACAGUUUGGUUAGAAUGGAUGCACUUUUGGCCUAUGUGUGCUUGUGCCAAAACUUGAGUUUGUUCGUCCGAGCUACGUUGUGUCUGUAGCCCCAGCAGGGAUUGCUUCACCUAAUGAAUGUAAGGAAGCGGUAUUAGUGCAAUUGCAUGAAGAACAUGAUCGGUUAACUUAUGAGUGUAGAUUUAUGUAGGUACCUAAAUUUUCAGAAGACGAAGAUAUCUAUGUGGUGAUAAGCUGGGCUGAGUCGAUCUUUGGAAGGGCAUUCUAUAUUUCUGUGUUGUGCAGUGCUCGAAGACAAGCCCAUGUCGUUUGCGGGGGUGGUUUCAUAAAUUGUAUCAAGACCGAGAUGCUAGAAUGACUAGUUGUUCUGUAAAACUAGCCAUUAAACUUGAGUAUUGGUGCAGCUACUGCACAACCUCUUUUGAUGACAUUUUGACGUCGCACAAUAGGGGCAAUGUUGAGGAUAUAAACCUUAGAGUCACCCGUCCGGAGGGGCCGGGUUACUCAUAAUGGUCAUCGCGUGAAGCCUGGCGCCAAGCUUGAAGACGGCGGGCCAAAGAUGGGCUUAAGACCCGGAGAUGGCUUAAGGCCCGUAGUUACAACCGCCAUUAUGGUAGAACUUGCAGUGUAAGGCAAGAAUAGUUGAGAGUCCGAGCCGGACACUCUUAUGAGCCGGCCGGGACUCUGAGAGCUGCUGGGCGUCAACCUCUCUAUAUAAAGGGACGACCCGGCGGCGGUUUAGGGACAAGGAAGAUCUCAUCGAGAGCCAGGCAUAGCAAUCAAGCUUCCUGGUCAUCGAAACCAUAAGCAAUACCACCUCAACUGGACGUAGGCUUUUACCUUCACCGUAAGGGGCCGAAUCAGUAUAACCCCCGUGUUCCUUGUCCCGUUUAACCCCUUUAAGCUUCCUAGCUGCGAUGGCUCCACGACUAAGUCCUAACUCGAAGACAUCUGCCGUGACAAUUCUACGACAGUUGGCGCCCAUCGUGGGGCCAGCGCACGGUGGAUUUGAGUUCUUGAAGGGCAGCUUCGAAGGGCUCAAGGGAUACGCUGUGGGCCGGAUGACCAAGAGUCGUCGCGGCAAGCUCUACAUCGACGAUGCAAACUGGGGCCCCGACGCCGGCUCAAUUGAGUACGGGUACCGGGUCCCCUUCGGCGGAAUUCAUGUCUUCAUUGGCAAGAUUGGUGAGCCGGCCCCUGAGCCGGAUUUCUGCGCCGAUCUCAUCGAGACGGCUCAGCGCGCGCGACCCGCCCGGGCCCUACCUGCCUUGAAGCAUGUUUUUGUGGGAUGUGUCCAUGGAGGGCUCUCUGAUGGAUCUGAAUCUGGUGAGGAGACGGCCGCCGGCUCUGACGGCGAGUCGUCCACAGAUGAGUCAAACUCGUUGUAUCAGAUUCAAGAUGGCAGGCUCAGGGGUUGUUCCGAUGGUGACAGUAUUCCGGACCCUUUUGAGCCGCCGAGCCGGGUUGGAAUCUUCAUGGCCGGUGCACAGCCUGUUCAGAACCCGGCCGCGGGGUCAGGAAACCCGGUACCCUCGCCGGCUCAGGUGCUUAUGGAUCUCACGGACAAGAUGACGGCCCUGUUGACCGCCAUGGUUGACCCGGCGGAUCAAGCUCAGCAUGACGCGGAGGUGGCGCGGUUAAAGUUAGAUCUAGUGAAAGCCAAGGAGGAUCUGGCGGCGGAAGGGAUCAGGAUGGCGGCGGAGAGGGCGGCUCUCGACGCCCAGACUCAGUUGAUUCAGGCGCAGUCCUUCCGGCUCACGAUGGAUCAGAACGCGUCCAAUGAGGUCAUGAGAAGGAGGCAUCAAAAGGCCCAAUCUCGACUCCCUCGGGUCUACGAUCCUCGAAACCUCUUCAACACGCCAGGUGCAGGGUCUAGUAACCCGCCGGAGAUCAUAGUGCCCGGGGCUGGAACACCUAUUCAGCCACAGGUGAUGGGGGCUCCCUGGGUGAACCCCGCCCCGCCUCAGUAUGUGCCAAUACCACCGGGUCAUUAUGCUAACCCGCUGGAAAACAUGGUCGCCGUGGCAGCACGGCUGGCGGCUCUUCCAAUUGACGGCGAUUCUCCAACGGCUGUUGAAACCCGCCGGGUCAGAGAACUCCUUCAGACAGCGCUGGCGCAGCAAGAGGCAUACUCUUACAGCCGGGACAGGAUCCACUCAACCCCUCGUCCAGGCCGGAGCCCGAGUUAUAGCAGACACAUGGUCUCAGCGACCGGCUCAAGUAAUGUCCGACGCCAUGACUUGCCCCCUGGCCAUGGCCCGGCUCAUAACGGGGCCUUUCACGCAACAGACCAAGACAUAGCGCGGCAAGAGGCGGAGCAGGUGCCUCAGUUGACGGCUUACCAGACACCCCCGGCUUAUCUGACGACUUCCGUCGACGUGGGUAUCUCUACGAGGACUGGAGGUGUCCCUUGUUUAGUGCCAGCUCUCCGCAAUGAGCGUCUACCCAAGGAUUUCAAAGGGCCUAGGAAGGUGCCUAAUUACACGGCUGAUUUACAACCCGGAGCUUGGAUCGAGAGUUACGAGAUGGCCAUGGAAUUGCUGGAGGUCAGUGAAGCGGCGAUGGCCAAGUACUUCACCAUGAUGUUAGAUGGGACUGCCCGCACUUGGUUGAAAGGGCUACCACCGAAUUCCAUCGGGUCUUGGGCUGAGCUGAAAGCCCGUUUCAUCCAAAACUUCAAGGAUACAUGUAGGCAGUCCAUGUCAAUUGUGGAUUUGACUAACUGUAAACAGCAGGAGGGUGAGUCUACGACACAUUGGGUUCGCCGGGUCAAAGAGAUCAUACAUUCAUCUAAUAAGAUGGAUGCCGGCUCUGCAGUCUUAAUGUUGGAGCAGAAUUGUCGUUUCCUGCCCCUGAAGAUGAAACUCGGGCGGCUUAAGCGCGACUGCAAUGAUAUGGGUACGCUAAUGGCGGCUCUCGUCAAGUACGCCGACUCUGAUAGUACCAAGGACCCCGCUUCAGAUGAUGAAAGGACAGGGAAGGGAAAGAAGAACGGCAAUGGCAAGGGUCCUCAGCAUAACCCGGGGAACCAAGGAGGUGGCAAGCGUAAGGCCGACGGCAGCCUAGAGUUCGUGGCCAACGCCAGCUCACAGGGUAAUAACCAGCGACGCAAGGGGAGGCCACCUCCCUGAGCCGGCGGGUCAGGCCCGACGCUGGAGCAGUUGUUGAAUGAGCCUUGUCCAAGGCAUGGCUCUAGGGAGGAGCCAACUACUCAUCUAUGGAAGGAUUGCGCAAUCAUGAAGGCCUUUAAGAAUUCCAAUGCCUUUAAUGGCAACAAUGGCCCGGGCGGCGGCUCAGGCGCUGGCGGUUUUCAUGGCCCGGGUGGCGGCUCAAAUCCUAAUCCUCAGAACGGUCAAGGGGGCUUUAAUCAGCAGUCUGGCCAGGGUCAUCAACAGCAGCAGGGGGUUAUCAGACCAAUCCAAAGCAGCUUAACGGUGGACAGUAUCACGUAUUUACCACCAGUCUGUGUAAGCGAGAUCAGAAGCUUCAUAAGAGGGCUGUGAAUGCUGUUGAGCCGGCGGUUCCACGCUAUUUAAGAUGGUCUGAGCAGCCUAUUGUGUGGAGUAGGGAGGAUCACCCUCCCCGGGUUGAUAAUCCGGGUCACUUGGCCCUGGUGGUGGCCCCUCAGGUGGGAGGAUAUAAGUUCACUAAGGUGCUCAUGGAUGGAGGCAGCAGCAUCAACAUCCUCUAUUAUGAGACUUUUCGUCGUAUGGGGUUGAUUGAUAAGAACCUCAGCCAGUCCAAUACUAUUUUCCAUGGUGUGGUGCCUGGUAAGUCGGCUUACCCAGUUGGUAAGAUCGAGUUGGAAGUGGCCUUUGGGGACGAGUACAACUACAGGGUGGAAAAAUUGACCUUUGAAGUGGUCAAGAUAAGAAGUCCGUAUCAUGCCAUAUUUGGGCGGCCGUCUUACGCCAAGUUCAUGGCACAGCCGUGUUACGUGUAUUUGCAGCUUAAGAUGCCGGGUCAUAAUGGGAUCAUCACGGUUCAUGGCAGCCGGAAAGUGGCUUUGGAGUGUGAGGAAGGCGAUGCGGCGUAUGCAGAAUCUGUUUGUGCAACAGAAGAGUUGAAAUUUUACAAGGACAAUGUCGACCCAACAGAUAUGACCUCUCUGAAAAAGCCGACUACGGAGCAUGAGCCGGCAAUGAAAUUUAAGUCGGCUGAUGAGACUAAACUUGUUGAUUUUGUUCCAGGUGACUCAUCUCAGCAGUUUAGCAUCAGUGCCAAUUUGGAUCCGAAAUAGGAAAGCGCGCUCAUCGAGUUCAUCCAUGAGAACAGGGACAUCUUUGCAUGGAAGCCUUCUGACAUGCCAGGUGUACCUAGAGAACUCGCUGAGCACACUCUCAAUGUUGAUCCGAAAUUUAAGCCGGUCAGGCAAUUCCUUCGGCGGUUUAAUGAAGAGAGGCGGAAAGCCAUCGGUGAAGAGGUGGCCCGGCUCUUGGCGGCCGGGUUUAUUGUUGAAGUCUUUCACCCAGAGUGGUUAGCUAACCCGGUGCUCGUGCUCAAGAAGAAUGGCACCUGGCGGAUGUGUGUGGACUACACGGACUUAAACAAAGCAUGUCCGGCUGAUCCUUUUGCCCUUCCCCGUAUUGAUCAAAUCAUUGAUGCUACGGCGGGUUGCGAGCGCUUAAGUUUCUUGGAUGCUUAUUCUGGAUACCAUCAGAUUAAAAUGGCAGUUAAGGACCAGGAGAAGACGGCGUUCAUCACUCCCUUUGGAGCCUUCUGUUAUGUGUCUAUGCCUUUUGGACUCAAGAGUGCUUAGGCGACUUAUCAGCGUUGCGUGCAGAACUGUCUUCAUAACCAGAUUGGGCGCAAUGUUCAUGCCUAUGUGGAUGAUAUUGUGGUUAAGUCCAGGGAGAAGGAAACCUUGAUAGAUGAUCUGAGGGAAACCUUUGAUAAUCUCUGGGUCUACAAAAUGAUGCUUAACCCGGCCAGGUGUGUUUUUGGUGUUCCUGCAGGCAAGCUCUUGGGUUUCUUGGUUUCCAACAGAGGCAUUGAAGCUAACCCGGAGAAGAUCAAGGCAAUCACCUCUCUGGCUAAGCCGGCGUGUAUAAACGACGUCCAGCGCCUGGCGGGUCGCAUUGCUGCUUUAAGCCAGUUUAUAAGCCGUUUGGGUGAGAAGGCCAUGCCAUUGUACCAGUUGAUGAAGAAAACUGAUGACUUUGUCUGGAAUGAUGCUGCUAAUACUGCUUUUGAGGAUUUGAAGAGACAGCUGGCUGAGCCCCCAGUCCUCGCUGCUCCGGUUGACAAGGAGCCCUUAUUACUGUAUGUAGCUGCUAACACACGAGCCGUCAGUGUGGCUGUGGUGGUGGAGCGCAAGGAAGAGGGUAAAGAGUAUCCGGUUCAGCGGCCGGUUUACUACGUCAGCGAAGUGCUCAUCGAGUCCAAACAGCGAUAUCCACAUUGGCAGAAGCUUGUUUAUGGUGUGUUCAUGGCAAGCCGGAAGCUUAAGCAUUAUUUCCAAGGUCACCCUAUCACUGUGGUCAGUUCCGCUCCCCUUGGAGAUAUCAUCCAAAACAGAUAAGCCACAGGAAGAGUGGCUAAGUGGGCUAUAGAGCUCGGGCCUCAUGGUCUGAAAUACGUACCAUGCACUGCUGUUAAAUCUCAAGCCUUGGUGGAUUUCAUCAACGAUUGGACGGAGCUACAAGUGCCCGAAGAAAAGCCGGAUAACACAUAUUGGACUAUUCACUUCGACGGGUCCAGGCAAUUGGAGGGCUCGGGGGCUGGAGUUGUAUUAUCUUCCCCUAAAUGUAACAAGUUUCAUUAUGUGCUACGAUUGAUGUUUCCUUGCACUAACAAUGCGGCUGAGUACGAGGCCUUGCUCCAUGGUCUUCGGAUGGCUAAGGAGAUGAGCUUGAGCCGGGUAAGGUGCUUCGGCGACUCAGACUUAGUGGCUCAACAAGUAUCAGGCAAGUGGGAUUCCAAGGACCCUCUCAUGGCGGCUUAUCGCCGUGAAGUUGAUGCCAUUGCUGGACACUUUCAGGGUUACCAAGUAGAGCACAUCGAUCGCAGGAAGAACGAGGCGGCUGAUGCAUUAAGCCGGCUGGGCUCUCAGCGAAAGCCGGUGCCGCCUAAUACUUUCCUGGACAUCUUGCAUAACCCUUCUGUUAAGGUACCUACAGAGGAAGAUUUGGCUGUCCCUGACCCGGAGGCAAAGUUGGUGGCGGCUCUCCACAUCACCCCGGACUGGACGGUACCUUACUUGGCUUACAUGACCCGGGGAGAGUUGCCUGAGGAUGAAACUUUGGCCAGACAAAUAACCCGGCAGUCUAAGUCAAUGGUUGUUAUCGAUGGUGAGCUGCAUCGCCGUAGUGUUAUGGGAGCGUUCCAGCGUUGUGUCUCCCCUGAGGAAGGUCAAGAAAUCUUGCGUGAGAUUCACGAAGGGGAUUGCGGCCAUCAUGCCGGCUCAAAAUCCCUUGUGGCCAAAGCUUUCCAUCAUGGCUUUUAUUGGCUGACGGCUCAUGCUGAUGCGGAGGACUUGGUCAGUAAAUGUGACGGUUGCCAGAGGUUCUCAUGACGGGCUCAUGUGCCGGCUCAAGAGCUGCGGAUGAUACCAAUCACUUGGCCAUUUACGGUCUGGGGGCUCGAUAUGGUUGGGCCAUUUAAAAGGUCCAAGGACAAGAAGACCCACCUCUUGGUGGCAGUUGACAAAUUCACAAAGUGGGUUGAAGCAGAGCCAGUUAGCAAGUGUGACGCAGCCACGACGGUUCAGUUCAUAAAAAGGGUGAUCUUUCACUUUGGUUUUCCACACAGCAUUAUAACUGACAAUGGUACCAAUCUGUCCAAGGGCGCCAUGGAGGAGUUCUGUCAACGAGAGCAUAUUCGACUUGAUGUUUCAUCAAUGGCUCACCCUCAAUCCAAUGGUCAAGCUGAGAGAGCUAAUCAGGAGAUUCUGAAAGGCAUCAAGCCCCGGCUUUUGGUCCCUUUGCAACGGACGCCGGGUUGUUGGGUGGAGGAGUUACCCUCCGUGUUAUGGAGCAUCAAUACUACUCCUAACAGGUCUACGGGUUACACGCUUUUCUUCAUGGUUUAUGGAGCGGAAGCAGUCCUCCCCAGUGACAUCCGUCAUGACUCGCCUCGAGUGGCGGCUUAUGUUGAGGCGGAUAAUGAACAGGCGCGCCAAGAUGCUCUUGACUUGUUGGACGAACAGCGUGAUGUGGCAGCAGCUCGCUCAGCGAUUUACCAACAACACCUGCGCCGUUAUCACAGUCGCCGGGUUAAGUCUCGGGUCUUCCAGGAAGGUGAUCUGGUGCUCCGGCUCAUCCAAGAUCAAACAGAUGCGCACAAACUAUCCCCGCCUUGGGAAGGACCCUUUGUGGUCAGCAAGAACUUGCACAACGGGUCAUAUUACCUCAUUGACAUUCGGGAGCACAAAGAUUCACGCAAGUCGGAGGAGGAGACCCGUCGACCGUGGAACAUAGCUCAGCUUCGGCCUUAUUACACUUGAGCCACCGGCUCUCAUAAUGUACAUAUUUCUAUAAGCCAUGUAUAUAUUAUGAUAAGCAAUAAAGCAGGACCUCUGUCCUUUUUUCUCCUCCAAAGGUAAAUGUGUUGUUUCCAUUACAAGAUCACAUGGUAACUUGAAGGAGGAUCCGGCUUAUGAUCGUAUUCGAAUCUAGCCGUACGCAAUAUAAUCACUUGGGGGCUUCCUGUUCAAACAUAGGUCGUAUUCGAACCAAAGAGAACAUAGCUGUCGAUACCCAUUUGAUUGGCAAAGUGCCGAGCUCAUUAGGGAGUUUUCUUUGAUCAUAUUUGAAUCAUAGCUCAACCCCCUUUGGGAACCGACAUGGAUCGUAUUCGAAUCAGCGUCGUUAAACAACUCUUAAGAUCAUUUGGGGGCUUCCUGUUCAAACAUGGGUCGUAUUCGAACCAAAGAGAACAUAGCUGUCGGUACCCUCCUGAUCGGCAUCGCCAAACCCACUGGGGGCUAUAUGAUCGCAUUCGAAUCUUAGCUUAACCCCUUUGGGACGGGUCUCUGGUCGUAUUCGAACCGGAAGCCCCUAAGUUUUGAUUUUCUGAUUUUCAACAAGUUCUUCUGGUUGUAUCAACAGUGUACACGGCGGUUCUUAUUCCGCCGGCUUAACUUUGAUUCACAGUGCUAGUCGCACACAAUCAGCAUUAUCAAGACUGGUAAACCGGAGUUGAGGUACCAACCUUAUUAUCCGGGUUAUAUAAACCGGAAGUGUACUUGAAGGCCUGUAAGUGUGUUAUUACGGUUAUAUCAAGGACAUAAUUGAGGACCAGUCUUUCGUGACUUAGAUUCAUAUUCCAGGUUAUAUGUAUGAGACUAUGAUUCUCAGUGCGGUAAGCCGCCUAGAGACUUGUGAUUUGUUUUUCUAUGCAGGAUAGUUAAAGACAGCUAUUUGAGCUUAAGGAAAAUGAAUGAUCAAUUAUGACCCGGAAGAAUAUAAGGAAGCAACUUCAAUGGAAUUAAGCAUUCAACACGUGCACGAUGGCACGACGAAGUUAAAAUGUUGGUCCUAUUCUAUUACAAGACUCCCCGAGUCCAAAAGGGUGAAGCAUUGUUUAAUAAGCCGCCUAAAGAGUCAGGAUGCUUGCCGGGUCGAAGCUUCCGGCUCAUCCCUCUCCGCUCCUCCGGCUGUUCCCAAGACCUGGAAGGUUGACGAUUUCCAGUCAAUGCCGCUCAAAGCUUCAAAUUGAGCUUCCUCGUCAAUUAACCCGGCCGGGUCAAUUUCCGGGGCAAAGGUGUGCUUACGAGUCGGCGGGACUAAGCUGAUGGCUUCAUAACGCGAAGUGGGGAUCCUCUGAUUCUCUGCAUCGUAGCCCGGCUGGUACUUGGUCAGAUCAGUGUCAUUCCCAAUCAGGGUGGCCACCGGGCGCACGAUCUUCACACAGGCAGCAAAGUCCUUUUGGUCGAAGGGGGUGCCGUCUUCCUUCAAGCUGGGGUAACCAAGUGCAAUGUCAGCCGGGUCUAGCUCUGGAAGGAAAGCCUUGGCCCGGCUCAGAGCAGCUAUGGCUCCGGCUCUUGCAGAGGCCCGUCACAGCUCUUGGACACGCUGAGGAAGAACGGCAAGCCGGCGAAGUACUUCCGCCAGGUGAGUCGGAACCUCAUUGGAUAGGGCCACCACGGCCAAAGCGCGCUGUGACCCGGUGUAGAGUUGCUCCACCAGGGUGUACACGGCCUUCAGCUUGGUCAGCAUGUUCUGAUUGAGGUUGGCGAUUCUGGGACCUGUUUAACAAAGUAAGAUAAGCCGUUCUCAAUGAUGGGAGUUAUGAGACAUAAACACCGUAAACUUGUUCAAAGCCUGCAGAAGGACUUACCGAAGAUUGCGGCAACCAUUUGUGACACAUGGCGUUUUAAGCCGGAGAGUUCGGCGGUUCUCUCCGUCAGAGCCUUCUCCGCCUGUUCGGCCCGGCUUACCAGAGCAGCCUUCUCUUCGGCCCAAGUCUUCCUUUCAGCUUCAAACUUCUUCUUCAGCUUCUCUUGAGCAGCAAUGCUGGAUUCAAAUUUGGCGUUGGCCUUCCGGGUCUCAGUUUCCUGAGUCUUCAGGCGGUUCUUCAGCUCUGAGAUAUCAGCCUCAAAUUUCUUGCAAGCAGCCUGCAUAAUUUCCGGGUUAUAGUAUGAACAGUUAUUAUGCAACUUUAAAGUCCCAAGCACUUUCCAAGCAAAGACACUUGGCAUUUGGGGGCUAAUGCAUGUCGAAAGUUUCUAUCUACAAAAUUACCGGUUCAUGAAAGUAAGCCAGAAAUUAAGUCUACAACCUAUUCUAUCAUAAGUAGUAGACUUGGGGGCUAGUAUGGUAAAGAUGACUGUGCGGUAGGCAAUAGGGUGGUACCUCAGACUUCUGUUGUAUCUGCUUCACCAUAUCAAUCUCCAAGUCCCGGCUGCUGUGCACCUGAUUGACAUAGCCGGAGAUGAUCUCUCCAAUGCUCAAGUCAGCAUAGUUGGUGAUGUCUAGCUUGGCCCUGCGGCGCUCUAGCAACUCUUCCUUGGCAGAGCACUUAGCCAGCGCAGUGGGUCUCCCCGGCUCGACAAACUCCGUCCGGGUAAUUACCACGUCCGGGUCAUCGGCCGGCUGAGCCGGGUUGGAGAUUUCCGGGUUAGCAGAAGUCUCUGUGAUUGGCUCGUCGGUUGGAGCGGUGGCUUCAGGAGCAGAGGCAGCUGGCGGCUCUUGAGCUGAAACCUCCGGCUCAGUCACGGCCGGCUCUUCGACUGGCUUAUUCUUCUUUGCUCUUUUACUGAGCUUUGCUUGAGCACUGAAAGGACACAAGGUUAGUACAAAAGUAUGAGUAAAGAUAAGCACAACAAGAGAUGAUCAUCAUUACCCGGGUACGGUCUUGAAAGCCGGCAGAUUCGAUUGCAUCGAGUCACCAGAGGAAGGUGAAGUUUCCUGAUAAUUUGAAUCAGAAGAAUUGAGCGGUUGACGUAUAACUCCCGCCAAAGGAUGAAAAGGAUAUAAGUUGGAGAUAACCUCGGUCCGGCGCUUCCUUGACGCUUCAGGUAAGCCGGAGGAGAGGUCUGCAUCCUUGUUGGUCCGGGUGUGCCGCCGGCUCUCAUGAAUCUGUUGCUUCAAAAGAAAUUGAGGAUCUUGAUAAGCUAAAGGAUGUGAAAAUCUUACUUUCCGGGUUACUCUUCGGACUUUCAGUCUUGGCAAGGGCUCCGAGUCGGAGGAAAGUGUCAUUACCUCUUCAGUCACCGGGUUACUUGCUCCGGUGUCAUCCUGCUGAUGAUCGGUAUCAAUAAGGUGGACAGGAAUAAACAAGAAAUACAACAAGAGCUUACAGGUUCAGCGGUUACCUCUGACUCGGAGCUGUCACUUAGUUGAAGCAGCUCUGAGGCAGUAGGCCUGCUUCCCUUCUUGCGGGGAGCGGCUCUCCUGGCGGCUUUCUUAGCUUUUCUGGCUUUUUUAGCCGCCUCAUGGUCAUACUUGACCUUCCAGAAUUUAUCAUCAUCCUGAAAAAUACAAUGAAGCCUUCUUAAGGUUCAGAUGAAAACUAUCUAAGGAGAAAAUAAGAUGUUCAGAUCAGCGACUUACCGCUGGGGCCGGGUUGGUCUUGCAGAAGGGGUUUAAGCCGGUCCUCCCGCAGUCUGCCAAGCUCUCAUUCAAGAGGGCCUUGGUCAUGUCGUCAACAACGUCUUCCGGAAGAUCGUUGUGGCUGUGUCGCAGGGGGUCAUCUUUCCGGCCCGUGUAAUCACACAUUAAGCCGGGGCGGCGGCUCAAGGGGAUCACCCGCCACGAGAUCCAGACCCGGACCAGAUCAAUGCCGUUGAGGCCAUUUCCCAGGAGAGCCUUAAUUUUGUUGAUGGUGGGGAUCAGAGGUUGGCGCUCGGCUUGAGUCAGCUUAUCCGGCAGAGAGUGAUUUGGCUCCAGACGCAGGGCACGAAAGCCGGGCAGCGGGCUCUCGUCAGCCGGAGAAGUGUCCUGACAAUAAAACCACGUCUGGUUCCAAUCCUUCGGAUGGCUUGGCGGCUCAGCAUAAGGAAAGAGGCAGUCUCUCCGGCGUUGAAUGGAGAUUCCACCAAGUGCCAGGCUCGGCCCGUUGGCACACUCGUUUUGACGGUUCAGAUAAAAAAGCUCUCUGAAGAGCAGCAGGCUGGGCUCUUCUCCAAGAUAGACUUCGCAGAAUACUUGGAAGUUGCAUAUAUUUGACACAGAGUUGGGUCCUAUGUCUUGUGGCCGCAGAUCAAAGAAAUUCAGCACAUCUCUAAAGAAUUUUGAGCCGGGCGGUGCGAAGCCCCGGCUCAUGUGAUCAGCAAAAAUCACUACCUCACCCUCCCUUGGUUGCAGUCUCUCCUCUGACGGGUCAGGGGCACGGUAAGACAUGACAUCCUUCUUGGGCAGGUAACCCGUCUUUACAAAUUCAGCUAAGGUAUCGUUGGUGACGUUGGACCUCAUCCAGUUGCACGUAAUGGGUGCUUUGGGAGCUUUGGGAGGCAUUGUGAAAGAGGAAGCCUAUGACAAAAGGAACAUGUCCGGUUCAAUUAUAAGCCGGCAGAUGUUUACAGUUUAAAUACUCAAAUGGCGGCUUAUGAGAGGGGCCUAAUGACAUAUGGUUAAGUACAUCGGGUUAUCUAAGCCGCUGCAAGUAUCGUGAGCAAUUCAAAUUGUCUACGGCUUUAUCAUAAAUGAGCCGGAAAAUUCAUGGCGCAUGGCUUCUUUUGAGCCGGAAACAUAAGCCGCCAUAGCUCAGCAGAGGCAAUUUUUUACUAAGUCUGGUGAAAACAAGUUUCACAGAUCGCAGUAAAUAUUUUGGAUCAAACGGUUGGCUAAAGAGAAAAAAUUUCUAGACCUAGAACUGACGCAGAAGAAGUCCAUGGAUUCAGAAUGGGAUCUUCUUUCAAACAAAGGGGAUCUACUAGUGUUAAAAUGGAUGAGCAACAACUACCGCAGGAGUUCUGUGCUAAUCUUGGAUCGAAACGUAGCCAUAGUGGCAGAACUACAGGGAACUUGCGAAGAACUUACGAAGAACAGCGAAGAACGGCGAAGAACAGUGGAACCCUAAUGUGGAUCUACGGUGGAGAGGUGCAGGGACUUACAGGUGCGGAGUUACGGCGGAGAUCCGUCGCGUUUCUCUGGUCAAGUCAGGGUGAUGCAGCGGCCUGAGUUGGUGAAGAUGAAGAAACCCGCGGCGGCGGCGGCGACGGAGCUCGGGCGGAAGCACAGUGGCGAGAGGAAGAAGAAGAUGGAGGCGACAAGUGGCACGAGGCUCAUGGGCCGGGCUACUUAUAAGGGGAAGCUCAUAAGUGGGCGCGAGAAACGAGGAGGCCACGGCGUGGUUAUCUCGCCAUAAAAACGCCUCGAUUUUCGGGACGGCAAUUAAAGAUAAGAUCCGUUGCGGAUAUGGUGGAGUAAAAAAUGGACUUAAUGGAAGAUGACGUCACGGCGGGUUACCCGGAAUCCAGAAGAUGACGUCACGAUGGGUUAUAACCUUUACACAAUUGUAAGCCGGAGAUUUUCUAUCGAAAGGAUUGAAGAUUGACAUGAGCCGGCUCAAAUCAAUCUGGGGCCUAAUGUUGAGGAUAUAAACCUUAGAGUCACCCGCCCGGAGGGGCCGGGUUACUCAUAAUGGUCAUCGCGUGAAGCCCGGCGCCAAGCUUGAAGACGGCGGGCCAAAGAUGGGCUUAAGACCCGGAGAUGGCUUAAGGCCCGUAGUUACAACCGCCAUUAUGGUAGAACUUGCAGUGUAAGGCAAGAAUAGUUGAGAGUCCGAGCCGGACACUCUUAUGAGCCGGCCGGGACUCUGAGAGCUGCUGGGCGUCAACCUCUCUAUAUAAAGGGACGACCCGGCGGCGGUUUAGGGACAAGGAAGAUCUCAUCGAGAGCCAGGCAUAGCAAUCAAGCUCCCUGGUCAUCGAAACCAUAAGCAAUACCACCUCAACUGGACGUAGGCUUUUACCUUCACCGUAAGGGGCCGAACCAGUAUAACCCCGUGUUCCUUGUCCCGUUUAACCCCUUUAAGCUUCCUAGCUGCGAUGGCUCCACGACUAAGUCCUAACUCGAGGACAUCUGCCGUGACAAUUCCACGACAGGCAAUGUUUAUCGCCAGCCAUGGCAUUAGAGUUGGAGUAUAGACUGGGUGUUUAUCGCCAGCCAUGGCAUUAGAGUUGGAGUAUAGACUGGGUGCGGCAGCGUGUCAGGGGGGAAGGAAAAACUGAGUUCCCGUUGAAGAAUGGUUUAAUCACCACCAUAUUCUUUGUAUUUAACCUAUAACCAUAUUCUUUUGUACCAUGACAAAUAAUCGGAGUGUUUGAGUACACAAGGCACAAUAUGUGUUUUGCUACUGGUUUGGAGUUCCAUCUUUGUGUUCUUUGUAUUUGUAAUGCAGAGCUGACAAAUACCGAAAUGACAUAGAGAAAACAUGUCAAGUACUAUAAGUUAAAUCCACAGCUUGAAAACAAAGCAAGACAAAAAUCUGAUGCCGAUAAUAGAUUAAAUUCAUGUCCUAAAUAUGGAACCUUGGCCUUUCAGUCUUAUUGUCUUACUCUGAUCACGAAGUUGAAUGCUGCUGUUAGAGGUAGGUCUGCUACAGGCUCAAUUGUUGCAGCGAUCAAAUCGCUGGCUAGUAGCUUUUCUUCUGUUUCUUUUGUUCAUGUAAGCCAUAGUGCUAAUGAGGUGGCUCAUAUGUUUGGCUAGAUCGAGUGAACGCUCCUCAUUCGGUGUAUCGCCGUUGUAUCCCUAGUGGCCUAGUUGUAUGCAUAAACUUGUAAACUUUGAAUGUUUGUGUGAAUAAUUAGCCAUCUUUGAUAAAAUAAAAUAUGGACAAGCUACCAUCCGUAUCCAAAUGCGCGUUCCUAUUUUUCUUUUUGAGUAUUUAUAGAAUUUAGAUUUAAAUUUUCUGAGAUGGCAGCCACACGCUGUUGUACGAUUUAGAUGAAUUUCGACUUUUAUGAGAUCAUCCCAAAAGGGCAGCUAAUAUUUCUCACCAAGUUAUGAAAUUUUGUGUUGGUUUCGCUAUUUCCUCUAGCAGCUGAUAAAUAACCUUUCUAGGAGUUAACUGAGAAAUGCUCUCUCCGUUUCAUAAUAUAAGAGCGUUUUUGGCACUAGUAGGGAAUAUCAAAUAACAAUUAUCUCUAAGUCUGAUGAGCCACACUCACUUUGUUCUGGUACUCACAUUCAGACACUUGUCGGGUUUCCCCCUUUUCCGAAAAAAGGAAAAAAAAUCACACACAUUUUUUUAGGAACAAAAAUAAAUCACACGCAUGAGUAUACUUAACACGAAUAUAUUUUUGGGAAACGUUUGGGGCCGGGGCACCGGCCGAAGCUUCGGCCGGUCCAGUCCACGCGCGCACGCCGCGACCCAGUCGCGAGCAACCACGUGGCGCUGCGGAUCUCGCGAAUCUCGCCUCAUUCCUGUCUCGCAGCUCCGCGGAUCUCGCCCCCAUCCUCAUCUCCUGCAGCGCCGGCGCCCACAUCUCGCCGUCGGUCAUGGAAGGUCGAAUCCCCCGCGCGUCCAUGGAUGUAGAUCUCACCCCGCCAUGCUUUACAGCCCGUUUCGCCAUUGGAUGCAGCCAGUUGACCAAUCCCCAUCCCCGGCGGUUGCAACUCCCACACGUCUCGUGCUUCUGCCUCGCCGACGACGAGCCGGGCGGCGAUGGUCGACACCGGAGGCUUCUGCAGAAUCGUCGCACCCCCAUCAUGUUGCAACCGUUUAAAAAAAAGCUUCAUCCCCCUAGAUGAAAAGCUUCAACCGGAUGUAGAGAAAGCUACAAGCGCUCAGCGCCAUCGCCAGAAAGCUACAACCGUUGACAUGAAAUGCUACAUCCUUCGAUUAAAAAAGCUUCAACCGAAACGACACAAAAAGCCUUGACCAAGUGCUGCUAAAAAGAAAAUAGCUACAACUUUUGGUAGAAAAGCUUCAACGGUUGUUGGAAAAAGCUGCAACCAUUGAGAGAGAAAGCUACAACUAGACACUAUGAAAAUAAGAAAGCUUCAACCAGCGACGGUUGGAGGUGGAAGAAGAUGAUAAAAUGCUGCAGUUUUGCUACAUGCUUCAACCGGCAUAGAUUUUUGCUACAACUGGCAUAGCAUUUUGCUACAACUAGCGUCACGUUUUGCUACAACACACAGCCGGCGUCGCGGUUUUGCUACAACUAGCAUCGUUUUUUGCUACAACCGGCAUAAUGUUUUGCUACAUCCAUCACGGCGAGCUGCGACCCAGCACGGGUUUCUGUGAAUUCCGGCGGCGAGAUCCAGCACGGGGGGCAGGGGCGGAUGCUGCAACCGGUCGCCGGCGAGCUGCUACGGGCUCGCGGCGAGCUGCAACCUCGACCGGCCGUAACGGAGCUCGAGCCCAAAUCCAUGGCGGCAAGGAGGUCAUGACGUAUGUAAGACAUGAUUGAAGCAAUCCCAAGGCGGCUUGAUAGGUGAGGGAGCCCCUCGUCGACGUGAUUCGGACGCGGGGAACGAAUAACAGGCGGAUCUAGCCGCCGCCGCCGCGGAUCGAGGACGGGCAGUCGCGGGGGGAUCCAGCUCCCCUGUUUUCCUUGCUGUGGCUGUUCGUACACGGUCGCAACAAAACUGUUCUUUUUUGCUGCAACGGUUGCUUAAGUCCGUGUAUGCGCGCAGAUCUAACGACCGCAUCGGACGGCUGGGCCUCGACCGGCCCAACUGUUGGGUCGGUGCGCCGGCGCAGAUCGCUGCCCUAUAUUUUUUCCCUAGUGGAACAGGAGUUUCUUAAGGCCCAUGGAUAAUCCUUGUUUUUGUUUUACCAUUUUCUGCUUAGAUAGGAUUUACCAUUUCUAAUUCUUUCUACUUUUUUUCUACAGUAGUUUCUUUAGGAUUAUCUGUUAUAGUUUUGCCUUGGCUAUUGCAUCUUUUUUUAGCAACAUUUUUUUUAGAAACACCAGUAAUUUUAUUUAUACUCAUAACGAUUACAGGUGUACUGAUUUAGAUUUAAAAUACAAAAAAUAUAAAGUAACUCCUAUGACCAAAAAUCACAAUGAAAUCUUUUGGAAACAUCAAUUUUUGUUAGAAGAAAUACUCCAAACACUUCGGUAAACAGGCUGCAAUUGGACCGAGAGGAGCAGUCAGCCCAUUCCCAUAGCCACACGAGCUCUCUCUCUCUCUCAAGAAGACCUAGACGCGGCAGCUCAAAAAACAAAAAGACUAGCUAGACGCGGCGGCGCCCCAGUCGAGCUCCACUGCCAAAUGCGCCCCCCAAAUCCCUCGACAAAAUCCCCAAUCCUCAUGGCGCCGAGCCUGCCUCCGCCGCGACGCCGCCGCCGCCGGACGCCGUCGGUGGUCGACAACGCCAUGCGCCAGAUCUUCCUGCGCCUACCGGCGGACGACCCCGGGAGCCUCGUCCGCGCCGCCGCCGUCUGCAGGCGCUGGUGCCGCAUCCUCUCCGACGCCGCCUUCGCCCGCGACUACCGCGCGUUCCGGCGGGCGCCGCCCAUGCUGGGCUUCCUCCACAACGAACGCCACCGGGAGUACAAACGAGUCAGCUAUUGGAUCUCCCACUUCGUCUCCACCGCCACCUUCAGCCCGCCGGCGUUCAAGGACCUCGAGGACCACCAAGUUCUCGACUCCCGGCACGGCCUCGUCCUCCUCCACGAAACGGGUGACGACUUUGUUGUCUACGACCUCGUCACCCACGACGACUGGGAAGUUCACGCAGACCCCAAGUGCCACGGCAUCAUGUGGUGGGAGGGCGACGAUCCUGCGUACAAGGGCAUACGCUGUAAUGCGGCAGUGCUUUGUGACAAGGACCUAUGUGACCACCUCGACUGCCAUGGCGGUCCUUUCCUCGUGGCCUUGGUGGGCUCCAACAAUGCAGAAGGUUCAAUGGCCCUCGCUACCGUCUACUCAUCAAAGACUGGUGAGUGGAGCGACAUGAUCUCUGUUCAUGUCCAUGAACCGGAUUUAAUCUAUGACAGGGCGCACAGUGCUGUUGUGGCCAAUAAGGUCUAUGUCCCCUGUGUGGAGAGUACCUCUGUCUUGGAGUACAACAUUGGUGAGCAAGAACUAUCAGUGAUCAGUGUGCCAUAUGAGGACCAGGACGAGAGCCAGCGUUACGUCUACCUCAUGGGGGUGGAGGACGGUAUGCUGCUGUUUGCGUCUGUGAUGAAGCAUAGACUCUAUCUAUGGUCAAUGGAGGCUGGUCCCAGCGGAGCUGCAGGAUGGGCGCGGCGCAGGUUCAUCGAGCUCAAACCAUUCUGCAGGAUGGACUCCCUCGUUCUGUCCUCCUGGACGAUUCGACUGUGUCAGCGGUUGGUUUUGCGGAAGGUGUUGGUGUCAUCUUCGUGAGUACACAAUCUGGGUUGUACACAAUUGAGCUCAGUUCAAGACGAUGCAACCAGGUAAAUGUAGAGGGACACAUCGAAAAGGCCAUGCCCUACAUGAGCUUCUACAUUGGAGGUACAGACUAGCAAACACUGAACACACCACUUACUUAGAUUACAGUGUUUAUGCUUGUAGCUUAGAUUGUUGAAUAAUUUAAGUCUGAGAGCUCCCAAUGCUGUAUGUGAUUCCUAAACGUUGAUGCGUAUGUACAGUCUUUUCUUUCAAUUUUUCUGCAUAACUAGAUGGAUAUCUGUAUGUAGGCCUGCUCGGGUUUUUUUCUUCCGGUUUCUGGGUGAUCUGUAGAGAUGUAGGAACCCAUCCUUUGUGCGGCUAUACUAUUCAGGUGUUGAGGCGUGCUGCAGACCUGGGUGAUUGUAGGCAACAGUAGCUCGUGAUUUUUCAUUCCAUGUUGUCUUUUUUUUUAAACAAGUGUUGUCUUUGUGUUGAACUGUUGAUACAAGCCAGAGAAAAAGAUACAGUAGCUGUAAGGAAUUGGCAGAUUAACUAGCAGCUGACCAGCAAAUUUCACGGUGAAUGUAUAGUUGGUGAUUUAUGAUUCGUUGGCUGCAGUAGUAUAUAUGUUGCAUUGUUUCGGCUUUACAAGUCGGUUAACCUUAGUCAAAGAUUUGCUCAUCAGGUCCCAAGGGCAACUCUAGCACAGUCGUCAUAUCCACCCAAACUGCAUAAUAACUGCCAUAUGGAGCACGGACCACAAAAAAACAGUUCUAAUAGAGUAGCCAUUCACCACUCAAUCGGCUUAUUUUUGGGAGCUCCCUCCAUAAAAUGGCCGCCCAGCUUCCAUAUUUGGAUGCCAUGGAGGCCUCGUUCAGAGCUCGCUCCAAAUCCAACUACCAGCGGGGGAGGGAAGUUUCAUCUUCUUCCUCCUUGCACCCCCGCCAGGUUUUGAAGCUCUCUACGGCCAUUACGCGCACCACCUCGCACAGAUAAUCUACGGCGAGGGAGGGACUGACCGCUAACCACCUGCCAUAUUAAUGGCGCGCCGCUCCCUUGGAUUCCUGUGGCCGCCCGUCAGAUGGUUGCCAUGCGGCAUCAUCUCUUGGCUUUCUUGUGAGUCCGGGAUGUAUGUGAGUAGCACGGCCACGUGUUCCUCAUCAGGAAGCGCGUCCCUUGAUGGCCGCCCACCUCCCCAACUGCCCCCUUAAUGGCGCCCGCGGCGGUCUAUAGAAGACCGGCGCCCGCGGCGGUCUCUGGCUUAUCCUUUCCACUCUCCGCGCCCCCUAGUUCCCUCUCGCCCGCCUCCAAUCCACCACUUCCUCGUCAAUGUAGCAACGGAAGGAGCUCCCCCUCAUCUUCAGUUUUGGGAUGAGGAGAAGCAGAAGAAGCCAGAUCCCCUGGCUCCCGUUUGGAACUUGUAUGACGUGUCCAUGGGCGAGGGCCAGAAGCAGGACGUGGAAAAGGACGUGCCGAGGCCCGCAAUGCCGCCGACGCAUGGCCGGCCUGGGACGAGAGCGUCGAGGCGAGUUUUCGGGCCAUCGACGCCAGUAUUCCAUGCCGCCCCCGCUGGGGAAUCCAGCCGUGGCGGCAACUGGUUAGCUAAUUAGUUUAAUUAAUUACUAGUUGUUCUAUGAAUGUAAGUCGCAAUGUGACUUAUUUUCCGCCGGAAUGAAACCAAUGCUUCAAGUGACGAGGAGGAAGAGAUUGAGGUCUAUGGUCAUUUUGAUUACAUGGGGCAUUUGGAGAGAAAGAAACAGCAGGGUUUUUGACAAAAACUUAGCCAUGUCCAGCAAUUGUUAGAUCAGAUCAUGGCUGAUGCUAGACAGUGGGCGUUAGCUAGUUCUGGCCGCUUUCCUUCGUAGAUGAUCAGGUCGGUUGCUGGGUCAUCUUGCUUGUUCUUUUAGUCUUUUGGUCGUUUUUGAGUUAGAAUGUAAAGGAAAAGAUUGGCAAGGGCAGUUUGCUGUGAUGAGAGCUUUGCCGUGAGCCAAGAGAUAUAUAUCAGGCACCCAAACCUCCUUGUGGUGUUUUGGAUAGGAUAACCCAGUCCCAUGUAUGCACUAGGCACUUGCCCGCGAGCCUGCCCAAAUGAAUGAGAUAAUUUCAUCAUAUUGUGAACCUCCAACAUUGCAGUAGUUCAAGGUCGAAUCAUGUUGUGCUGUGGAUGCGUCCUGCUUUAGCUUUAUUGACUUGGACCGCUACAAUUGAAAUUAUUUUGAGGGGCAAAGUGCGCUCUUCUUCUGCUCAUCACAUCAUCUUACUAAACCCUGUGUUCUUACUGUGGUGCAGAACGGGGACUGUUGGACUAAGCUUCACGCACAGUUGUUGAUGCUUCACGUAAGAAUGGCGUCAAGAUGAUGGAUCUGUUUACUUUUGCCACCCAGGAAGAAUUUGAAGUGAAGUUCGGCGCCUUUUGUUGUUGUUUGUGUGUUUGGGCGGUUUGAUCUGGGUGGAUGUGCGCUUGUUCAAUUUGUGCUCGGGCCAAGACUUUACUUCGUUCGUCUGAGUUUGUGUGUACCGUGUGUAACCCCAACUGGGAAGUUAUGUUUUACCUAGCGAACCAAGUUAAUGUAUUUGUAUUAGUAGAAGGCAUGCAUGAACAUGAUCUGUGGUGACAGUAACUUAUGACGGUAGACUUCAGUGGUUGAAUUCGAAGCCUGAGUGUUGCGGUAGCAAGUGCACAGCCGCCAACAUAAUGCAGCCGUGCUUAUCGCCGGCCACGGCAUAAUAACGGUAUAGACUUGGUGUGGGGCCUUGGUUUGGAUGGCCAUUGGCCAAAGAAGGAAUCAGUGGAACUGUCGGUGUUUGAGCUAUAUUUUUUUUAGCAAGAACAUGGUGCAGCGGCGCGACUUGGAAGGGCCACGUUGCAAGCUUUACCAAGUGUCUUGAGAAAUAACGGCUUGGUUCUGGUGGCGGUAGUGUUAGGAAUAAAUUUAGAUUUGUCUGCGAUUGGUGGUUGGCAUGGAAUAAGGUCUCUCGUCCUCGUUCCGAUGAUGCUUCGCCGUAUCGUUGGGGGUGUAUAGAGGAUUGUGUCCCCAGAUCUGGUUUGUCUUUGGUUCACCAAUUCCAGUUUCGACCCAAAAGUUUAGCCAGACUCAGUCCAGCUGGAGAUGGUAUGAAUUUUGUAUUCCCCGACUGUCUGGUCGGACUAGGUCGUUCUACAGGCCCUCUCCGGGCAGCCGCCGUCUCCUGGGCACAUUGAUGAUUUUUCGACCGUUACUUCUAAAAGCUCUUGGAUUUCAACAAGUUUGCUCCGCUAUGACGGAGCCCAGAGGCAUCAACGAGCUUUGUCGCCGCGCCAUCAAUUAUUGUAGGAGAAAGAAGUCUUCGGCACACUGAAUAUUGAGACAUAAUUUUUAUUUUUUGUAAGUCUCUGAGUUUGUGCUACUUAAUAUAUAGCCUUUGGCCUUUUGACAAGAAAAUGAUUUUCCAUAAGUGCAAAUGGGACAAGAAAAUCUUGAUUGGACAAAUCUCAACAGUUGGCAGGAAAACAACUACUUUUAAAUUGACUAAGCCAUAUUUUCUUCUUGUAUUCAUAUUCACACAUAAGUAUGUUCGACAAGAAUGUACUCCCUCCGUUGCUUUAUAUAAGGUGUAUUUGUUUUUUCAAAAGUCAAACGAGUGCAUAUUUGACCGAGUUUUUAGAAAAACCCGCGCGUUGCUGCGGGAAUGAGUUGCAAUAUAUUUCAAUGAGAUUUGAUUGUGUGAAAUAUAUAUUUUAGAUUAAUUGCACGCGAACAAAAGUUAAAGAUACACGUGAAUUAUUUUAUUUGAUUAUGUAUAUUGGUAAAAUGUUUAUUGCAUGUAGAAUAAUAAAAUGAACAGUCUUUUCCAUGCAUGUUUGCAUGGGGUGGUGGGUCUUUUCCCAUUCAUGAUUGCAUGUUAAGGUGGGAUUUAUCCCAUCCAUAAUUGUAUGGCGAUGUGGCACGCUUGCAUGUUGAGAUAAAUAAAUUAGUGGGGAUGAAGUUGUUAGGUAUAUAUGAUAUAUCAAUAUCCACACUACGAAAUUUAUAUCAUUUGAUCCAUCAUGAAAAAUACUUUCAUAUUUUAUGUAUUAGGUAUUGUAGAUGUUGUCAUUUCAUUCUAUAAUCUUGGUCAAACAUUCAAAUGGUUGAUUUACACAGAAAUCAACACACCUUAUAUUCUGGAACGGAGGGAGUAGCUUUUUUUCGAGUCGCAAAUUUUUUGGAAAGACCCAUGGCUAUGUUCAUUCUGUACAUUUUUUUCUUUCCAUUUAUAGGUUUUGUAGAAAUUUUCUUUGGAAUUUUUUUCUAGAACUUCUAGGUUUAUUUAGUGAAAUCUACAAUUAAUUUGUACAGAGCAGCGUCCGCAAAAAUAAUAAUAACACAGAGCAGGUUUUCCCUCCUCCUGGAUCCAUUCGCAAGAUGCAGCAGCCCAGUACCAGCCCAUUUCCCACAGAAAACCCAACUCCACCACGCAGCGCCUCUCUCUCCCAAAAAGAAGAUGUGGAAAAAUAAAUAAAGGGAAAACUCGACGCCGCGGCGGUGCCUCGCUCGACUUCAAAACCAAAUCCCUCGACAAAAUCCCCAAUCCCCGGCCAUGGCGAUGAGUCCGCCUCCGCCGCGCCGCGCCCCCAGCUCCCGUCCGACGCCGCCGCUGCCAGACGACGUCAUGCGCGAGAUUCUCCUGCGCCUGCCGGCGGACGACCCCGCGUGCCUCGUCCGCGCCGCCGCCGGCUGCAUUAGCUGGCGGGGCAUGGUCUCGGACCCCAGCUUCGCCCCCGCCUACCGCUUGCGCCGCGGUGCGCCGCCCAUGCUGGGCUUCCUCUACGACGACCGCCCAGCUGGGGAGCACUGGAUCUCCCACUUCCUCCCCACCGCGACCUCCCCCCCGCUGGCCGCCCGCGACCGCCAGCACCGGCACGCUCUCGACUCCCGGCACGGCCUCGCCCUCUUCUACACCCCUAGAAGCCACGCGCACUUCCUUGUCUGCGACCUCGUCACCGGCGAGCACUGGGAAAUUCGCGCCGACCCCAAGUGCUACAAGAUCAUUUGGUCGAAUUUGCUGCAGGAAAUGCACUCCCUGCGCGAGAAUGAGCAAAUAUCCUGUAAUGCUUCCGUGCUCUGUGCCAAGGAUGGGUGUGACCACCGUGAUUGCCAUGGCGGCCCAUUCCUCGUGGCCUUGGUGGGCUCCGACGUGGAAGGGGACACGUAUAUGAACCACGCCGCCGUCUACUCAUCAGCUACUCGCGAGUGGAGCGACGUGACCUCCGUUGAGCAAGAGAAUGUCAUCGAUGGCACGGGGCACAGUGCUGUUGUGGGGAAUACGGUCUAUGCCCCCUGCGUGGAGGAUGACAGUGUCGUGGUGUACAACACGCGUGAGAAAAAACUAUCUGUGAUCGCGGCGCCGCUUGAGGUCGAGGACCAGGAGCAGCAGCCGUACCUUGACCUCAUGGGGCUGGAGGACGGCAUGCUGCUGUUUGCGUCUGUGGUGAAGCCUAGACUCUACCUAUGGACAAUGGAGGCUGGUCCAAGAGGAGCUGCGGGAUGGGCGCGACGCAGGGUCAUCGAGCUCGGGCCAUUGCUCCCUCUUCCUGUCCUCGAGGACAAGUCGGACGUGUCUGCGGUUGGUUUUGCAGAAGGUGUUUGUGUCAUCUUCCUCAAGACAAGGGUUGGGUUGUACACAAUGGAGCUCAGUUCAGGCAAAGGCAAAAAGGUGCACCGAGGGUACAUCAAUAAGGUCAUGCCCUACAUGAGCUUCUACACUGGAGGUACAGAUAACUGUUUCCAAACAUGCACAUUAAGUCAAGUACACUAAGCACACCAUCGACUACUAAUAUUGCUUGUAGCUUAGAUUGUUGAAUAAUUUAAGUCUGAGAGUUCCUAGUGUGAUAUGUGAUUCCUAAACGUCGGUGAGUAUGUAGAGUUUUUCUUCUAUUUUUCUGCAUACCUAGAUAGAUAUCUGUAUGUGGGUCUGCUCGCAUUUUUCUGUUUUUUGGGUGAUUUGUAGAGAUGUUAGGAAGUAGGAACCCAUUCUUUGUGCUGUUGCACUAUUCAUUCAGGUGUUGGGUCGUGCUGCAGACCUGGGUGAUUAUAGGCAACCGUGAGUAACCUGUGAUUUUUCAUGCCAUGUUGUCUUUGUGUCUAUAGAAGCCAGAGAAAAAGAUACAGUAGUCUUGUGGAAUUGGCGUUGGGCAGAUUAACUAGGCAGCUGACUAAAGAAUUCCAUGGUGGAUGUAUAAUUGGUGAUUUAUGUUUCAUUGGCUGCGCUGUUAUAUGUUAUGCUGAUUGGCUUUACUAGCCGGUAAGCCUUAGUUAAACUUUGCUGAUCAUGUCCUAAGAUUGGCAAGAGCAGUUUGCAAAUCGGUCAAGUGAUCAGAGCUUUGCUGUGAGCCAAGAGGUCUCUGGCACCCAAACACCCGUGUAGUGUUUUGGAUAGGAUAACCUAGUCCCAGGCAUGCACUUGUCCAUGAGCCUGCUCGAAUGAAAGAGAUGAUUUCGUUGUUGCGUACUUAGAGCAUUGUAGGUCCAGAUUGAACCGUGUUGUGAUGUGGAUGCUUACUGCUAUCACUUCGUUGAUUUGGUCAGCUAGAAAUGAAAUGAUUUUGAGAGCAGUGUGCUCCUCUCUACUCAUCAUGUCAUCUUAUGAAGCCUUGUCUCUACAUGAGUUUCUACACUGGAGGUACAGACACACACAUUUAGUCAUGAACGCUACGCAUACCAUCGACUACUAUUAUUGCUUAUAGCUUAGAUUGUUGAAUAAUUUAAGUCUGAGAGUUCCUACUGUGGUAUGUGAUUCCUAAAUGUCAAAGAGUAUGUAGAGUUUUUUCUUCUAUUUUUCUGCAUAAGUAGAUACAUAUCUGUAUGCAUGUCUGCUCCUUUUUGUCUAGUUUUUGGGUGACUUGUAGAGAUGUACUCCCUCCGUCCGGAAAUACUUGUCGAAGGAAUGGAUGUAUCUAGAUGUAUUUUAGUUUUAGAUGCAUCCAUUUAUAUCCAUUUCUGUGACGAGUAUUUCCGGACGGAGGGAGUACUAGGAAGUAGGAGCCCAUUCUUUGUGCUGUUAUACCAUUCAGAUGUUGAGUCGUGCUGCAUACCUUGGUGAUUGUAGGCAACCAUGAGUAGCCUGUGAUUUUUCCUGCCAUCUUUGUCUUUGUGUUGAUAGAAGCCAGAGACAAGGAUACAAUAGUUGUGUGGAAUUGGCGUUGGGCAGAUUAACUAGGCGGCUGACCAAAGAAUUUGAUGGUGGAUGUAUAGAUUUAUGUUUCAUUGGCUGCUCUAUUAGUCUAUUAUAUGUUGCGCUGAUUGGUGUUACGAGUUGGUAAGCCUUAGUCAAAGCUUUGCUGAUCAGGCCAUAAGAUUGCCAAGAGCAAAGCAACUAAGUGAUGGGAGCUUUGCUGUGAGCCAAUAGGUCUCUGGAACCCAAACAUCCUUGUGGUGUUUUGGAUAGGAUAACCUAGUCCCAGGUAUGCAUUUGGCAUUUGCCCAUGAGCCUGCCCAAAUGAAAGAUACGAUUUUGUUGUAGCAUUGUAGGUCCAGAUCGAAUCAUGUUGUGAUGUGGAUGCUUCCUGCUAUCACUUUGCUUAUUUGAACAGCUAGAAAUGAAAUGAUUUUGAGGGCACUCUCUAGUCAUCGUGUCAUCUUAUGAAGCCUUGUCUCUUAUGGUGCAGCAUGGGGGCGUCUGCCAGCAUCUAAUGUAGCUUCACGCGCAGUUGUUGAUGCUACAACGAUAUAACCGAAUGGCGUCAGGACUUGGGUUUACUUUUUCUGCCCAGGAAGAAUUUGAAGUGAACUUCAGCCUCAUUCACUGCUGGUUGUGUUGAACAGUUUGGUUAGGAUGGAUGCGCUUUCGUCCUAUUUGUACUUGUGCCAUAAACUCAAGUUCGUUUGUUCGUCCGAGUUGGGUGCGGCUCAAACUGUCCAUCAGGAGAAAUUGUAGUGAUCGGUUGACGGUUUUGUGGCAUGGAUUGGUGGAGAUUUCUCCUUCUCUAUCUUUGGCUGUUAGAGAUGAUGUUGUUGUCUUGAAAAUGCACUCUCCUGAGAUUGAUGGUGUGGAAUCUCUCUAUUCUAUGCAGUAAGAAAUUUCGGGGGAAGUAAAUCCCCACCCGGGUUCAUUGUUUCUGUCUGUGGCUUUAAACUAUGGACAAUGUGGCCAAGAGACAGAUUAUUAGUGAUAAAACACGUCUUUUUGGUGCAAUUUGUCACUUAUUUGUUGGAUGGCCUGUGGCCAAGCUGUGGUGGUCUUAAUUUGUUGAGCUCUCAGCAAUCACGUAUUACUUGAAACCACAGGAAGCUGCCACGAAUCCGCUAGAUAAAUCUCGCAAGAUAUAGCCACAAGCGCAUCUUCUUCGUCCUAUGUCUUAUGUCUUAUGUGUCGACGAUGAUCUUUGCAUCUCGGGAAGUGCGGAUUGUCACAGAGCACAAAUAAAAAUUCUUCACUUGUAGAGUGAGGACCCCCGAACCCAUGUGCAUAUGACCCGCUUUAAAAGAAUGCAUUUUAAACGUGUUUUAAAAUGUCAAAUAUUAAAAACAAAAUUUCAUGCAUACAUCUUCACAUAAUGUGUGCGCGGCACAAAGUAUAGUGGGAAAACCUCUUUUUAUUUGAAUCCUUGAAAAAGACAAUUUUCAGUGCUUCUAAAUAGUGUUCCACGACACUUUUUGUGUGUCUUUUUUGCAUAGGUCAAAGAAAAAGUUGUUUUUCCGCAAAACUUUCUGCACGUGCAUAGAAUGUGAAGCUGUCUGUGUGAAAUUGUUUUCAGAAUUUUUUGGCAUUGAGAAAUGAGUUAUUGUUUUGCCAUGGGUUCAGAAUGUACUCCCUCCGUCCCGUAAUAUAAGAGCUUUUUUGACACUACACUAGUGUAAAAAACGCUCUUAUAUUAUGGGACUGAGGGAGUACUUUCUAAACCAGGUUUUUUUCUUCUUCUAAACUAGGUUUUUUUAGGGUAAUAGCCAAGCUUUAUUCAUCAAAGACCACAUGUUGUGGGAUACAAUUCGGGUUAUGGGGUUGGCCAAACCAAACGUGGCGCCCCGGACCCAGAGAAAGAGCAUGCUUAGCUAAUCUAUGAGCUUCUAAAUUGUUCAAACGGCCUUCAAAACAAAAAUUACAAUGAAGAGAAGAUUGUUGGACUCUAAUCUCCUUGAUGAUUGCUCCAUAAGCGCAGUUGCUGUCGUUAUGUAUGGCACUUACCACCUCCUUUGCGUCUGACGCUACAACAAAUUGGUUUAAGUGAAGAUCAGCUGCGAGCGCCAAACCUUCCCGGCACGCUAUUGCCUCUAGUGUUGCCGGAUCAUCCACACCUCUGAUAACUAGAGCCGAGCUACCAAGGAAAGUACCCGAGUUAUCUCUGCAUAUUGCUGCCGCUGUUCCCCGGCUUCCUUUCCUGCACCCCGCAUCAACAUUAAUUUUGGCAUGGCCAUUAGGAGGUGCUUUGGGUUUCCUGUUGCUGUUAUGUACCACUCUUGGUUCAGUCCUUACCGGGUCCUGUUUUCCAUUGAUUACCUCAAGUUCAUCAAUGUACCUCUCUGCAAAGGACAUGAUCGCAUGUGGGCUCUGAAAAACACCUUCGUGUAUAGCUUUUUGCCUCGCUGCCCAGAUAGCCCAAAGAAUCACCGAGAUCUUCACAAAUUCAGCAUGUGAUAAUAGUUCCAUUAGAGAAAAUAGCCACUGCUUGGCCUUUGGUUCGGUAUUUGACGUCAUUUUUUGAAGAAGUUCGCCAUCCAUAAGCGCCCAGGUGCACCGUGAGGACGUGCAAUCGAUGAGCGAGUGUCUCCACGAGUCGGGUGCCCCACACAUGCCACAUGAACUCGAGUGUGUCAUAUGUCUUCUCGCACGGACAUCGUUUGUUGGGAUCGAAUGCUUUGAGAGUCUCCAGAGGAACAUCCUCACCUUGCCAAGCACUCUCGUACUCCACAAACUCUUCCAAGAUCUCUCCUCCGUCGCAGUGCUUGAAGGACCCGAAGUAUUCUCAAGCCAUGCCUCUCUCCUUGACCUGGUAGCUACAAGCAUGCGAUAUGCCGAGCGGACCGAGAAAGAGCCAUUCUUUUCAUAGUGCCAACCCCAGAAAUCAGAGAUAUUGCGAGUGCAUAGGGGAAUGCUUAGUAUGAUUUGAAUAUCCAUCGGCAUGAACACCGACUCCACCUUCUCUCUAUCCCAGCUUGCGGAUGUGUGAUCUAUAAGCUCAGACACUAGCAUAAGAGGAUUUUGAAUAACGCACCCAUAAGGUUCCAUCAUCUACUCUCUGGGAAGCCAGUUAUCUUCCCAAAUCUUUGUCGGUUCUCCGAUGCCAAUGCGUUUGAUUAGGCCCAUCUUCAGAGUGUCACGUCCUUCUAUAAUGGCCCUCCAAAUCUGACUUGGGUGGUUCCCCAAUGAAGCCUCCAAGAUUGAGCAGUUCGGGUAAUAUAUACUCUUCAAAAUACAUGCGCUGAGAGAAUCCGGCUCCUGCAACAGCCUCCAUGCAUGCUUUGCUAACAUGGCCAAGUUAAAAAGUUCAAAAUCCUUAAAGCCUAAACCGCCCAUUCCUUUUGGCUGGGUCAUAGUCUUCCACGAAACCCAAUGGGGUUUUUGCUUUCCCUCCUUGCUUCCCCACCAAAAUUUCCGGAUUAACAUAUUGAGGUGUUCGCACAAACCUCGUGGCAAUUUGAAACAGGAAAUGGAGAAGACCGGAACUGCUUGGGCGACCGCUUUCACCAAAACCUCUUUGCCUGCUGAAGACAUUGUGCUCUCAAUCCACCCUUGCACUUUGCUCCAUAGACGAUCCUUCAAGUAUUUAAAUGCACCGUUUUUAGAUGAAGCUAUAUCCGAGGGCAUACCUAAAUAUUUCUCAUUUAGGGUCUCAUUUGGAACUUGCAACACCGUUUUCACCUCUGUCCGGAUACUGUCGGGAACCCCUUUGCUGAAAUAAACCGAUGACUUGUUGUAGUUGAUACGCUGCCCUGAGGCCUGGCAGUAUCUGUCCAGGACUAGGUUCACCUCGGUAGCACCCGUACUAUUUGCCUUGAAGAACAGCAGGCUGUCAUCAGCGAAUAAUAAGUGAUUCACCUUAGGUGCCGAGGCCGCCACUUGUAAACCACUCAUGUUGGAUGACUCACUUCUUGAUUUUAACAGGCACGAAAGGCCCUCUGCUGCUAGCAAGAACAAGUACGGAGAUAUCGGGUCCCCUUGUCUGAUCCCACGUGUUGGUGUAAACUCCUCCAACCUCUUUCCAUUAAACUAAACUGAGAAAGUUACUGAGGAUACCAGUCCCAUGACAAUAUCCACCCACCUCUGAGAGAAACCAAGUUUCAACAUGAUUGCUUGUAGAUACUCCCAUUCUACCCUGUCAUAAGCUUUCAUCAUAUCAAGUUUCAAAGCGCAUGAUUGAUGUUUCUUUGCUUUGUUCCUCUUCAUGAAAUGCAAGCACUCAUAAGCAGUCACAAUAUUAUCAGUUAUUAAUCUCCCUGGGACAGAGGCUGACUGCUCCUCUGAAACGAUCUCCGGUAGAAUGAUUUCAAACGAUUAGUGAUUACCUUGGAUGCAAUUUUGUAGAGGACGUUACAUAGACUGAUCGGCCGGAAUUGUGACAACAACGUGGGAUUUUUAACCUUUGGGAUCAAAACCAAAACUAUCUCAUUGAUGCUUCUUGCUGAUUCCUUGCCCUCUACGAUAUCAAGCACUGCUUUUGUAACAUCAUCUCCGCAGAUCUCCCAAUGGCGUUGGAAGAAGUGGGCCGAAAAACCAUCCGGGCCCGGUGCUUUCGUGGGAAACAUUUGGAAAAGUGAUUUUUUAACUUCUGCUUGGGUGUAGGGGGCGUUCAACAUGUCAUUCAUUCCCUGCGUUACUUUGCAUGGUACGGUCGAGAGGACACUCUCCAUAUCCUGUACACCCUCUGAGCUAUACAGGUUUUUGUAAAAGGCGGUUGUCAUUGCUUCCAUCUCGUCUCUAUUCUCUGUGAGCUGACCGGACUCUUUCUAAAGAGCCCUAAUCUGAUUUUUCCGUCUCCUUCUACUUGCACAUAAAUGAAAGAAAUACGUGUUUUUAUCUCCAUGCAUCAGCCACUCGAGCCUUGCCCUCUGGCGCCAUAAUAUCUCCUCGCGAUGAUAUAACUCAACUAGAUUUUAUGUGAUUUUUAACUCCAUGUGGUUUGGCCCGGAUCUACCUGGGAGGCCGCGCAACUCCUGUAGCUGUUUCUGCAACCGUGCAAUCUGCUGUCUUACAUUCCCAAAGUGCUCGCGAUCCCAUGCAGAGAGAUCACCCGACACACGCUGCAGCUUUUGUCGCACCUGCUCCACUGGUCUGAUGUUGUCCAGAUUCUAUGCGGCCCACCCGUCGCCAAUCACUUCCGCAUGCAUGGGGUCACGCUCCCAACACAUCUCGUACCUGAACUGCCUCGGUCCCCGUGGAACUGCAUGUUGCAUGUUGAGCUGGAGGAAGAUGGGAAUAUGAUCAGAAGAAACCGUGUGCUUAUGUUCCAGAAUAGCUGUUGGAAAAGCCAAAGACCACGCUGGAUUAGCGACGCAUCUAUCCAGACGAACCCUGGCGUAAGUUCCUUCUGCCACCUUUUUUUCAAACGUCCAGUUGAUUCCAGUGAAGCCUAUAUCUGACAAACCGCAUGUAUCGAGCGCAUCUCUAAAUGCAUCCAUUUGUGCCUGGCUUCUGUUUGCCACUCCGUCGUGCUCAUGUGAGUAUAACACCUCAUUAAAGUCUCCUAUAACCGCCCAUGGCAGAUCGUUAGCACCAACAAUGCUGCGCAGCAUGUCCCAUGUUUUAUAUCUCUCCACUACCUGGGCCUCCCCAUAGACGAAAGUGACCCUAGUUUUUAUCUGAGCCAGAUCAUCUAUCACAACAUUAAUAUGAUACUUGGAGUAACCAUCAACCACUAGGUUUAUUUCAUCGUUCCAAAAGAUACCAAGUCCACCACUUCUCCCAGAACUACUAAUUGCAAAACUAUUGGUAAACCCUAAUGAGCCUGCUAAAUUCUCUACUCGAGAGCCCUCUAUCUGAGUUUCGACAAUGCAUAAUACAGAGGGGGCAAGUUGCCUCGUUAGAUCACGAAGCUCUCUAACUGUCGCGGGUUUGCCAGCCCCGCGACAGUUCCAACAUAGUAGACUCAUUGCGCAUGGCGCGACUCCCCGUGGGAGCCCGCCAAACGUGCAUCAUUGUUUAUUGUCAACACUAGACUCUUCACCAUUGAGUUGUCUUGGGCUGGUAGAGAAAGCUUGUUCCUCUUUGGUUCCUACUUGGAUGGAGAGCUCGCCGGUACAUCUUGGCUCUGCUGCAUAGGCAAAGGGUUGCUUGGUUGGGCAACAGGCAUAGAGCUAGCUGAACCCCUCGGGUCCAGCACCACUAGGGCGCCCCUUUUCCUGUUAUUUUCCGCAUCAUCCAUUGCAAUAACUUCCUUCAUAUUCUCUGAAAACUCCUGCUCAUUCCACCUCUCCUGACUCCUCUGAGAAGAAACGCGGCCUCGUCCACGGCCACGACCCGAUCUGCCACGCCCUCUUCCUUCUCCCGCUCCCCGGCCCGGUCCUCUGAACCACGAUGCCCGCAAAUUCUUAUAAACCAGAGCUUCAGGUGGAUGAACACCAUCACCGUGCUCCUUAAACUGGUGUCCAAGGUGGCCACAAACAGCGCACCAGUCGGGUAAGCGCUCGUAUUUUACCAGAAAGAUUUUUCUUUUCCCUUCUUUCACCACGGAGACUGCAUUCUUUAGAGGAAGAUGGACAUUGAUCUUAACCCUAACCCGUACAAAGUUGCCUUCAAAGUCUUGUGAUUUUGGUUCAGCGUAUAUGUACUGCCCAAUUUUCCCUGCUAGUGCUUUGAUCAUUGGGAAGUACCCAUCAGGAAAGUCAUGUAUCUGAGCCCAUAUAUCCAGCAUAUCCAGAUUCACCUCUGAAGGCUUAGUGAACCCAUCAUACUCAGCAAGCACCACCGCGUUUCCUUUGAGGGUCCACGGUCCCUCCGCCAUGACGCGUUCCCAAUCGCCGAGGCACGAGAACUGCAUAGUGUACAAAUUUUCUUCGAGCGGACGGAUCUUUACCUCCUGCGCAAGGUCCCAGGCAGCCCUCAUGUUAUGGAAGAACCAAUACUGGUUGUAGUUCUUCGGGGUGUGAACUCUUGCGAUGGCCAUCCACCGCACCGCUGAUUCAGAUGGUACAUCUUGCUCCUCGAAAACCACAUCAUCUAGGUCAUCCUCAGUGAUGCCCAGAUUCUUCAUCAUCAACUCAACAUCGCUUGCCUCCGCGCCCGAUCCAGACGCCCGGCUAGCCAUACCGCAAAACCCUAACCCGACGAAACAGCGAUCACCAGGUUUGACGGAACCCUAUUUGCCUUCUCCUCCUCCCGAAAACCCUAACUAGGCCAAGACCGGGUAGCGAUGCAAGAUCGCCCCUUGAUCAGUCCAAGCCUGGCUGGGAACCGAAGGAAGAUCGACGACGGGAUAGGAUAGUCUCAACGGCGGCUCGGCGAGUCACCGAGAGGAAACGAAACACUAACAGGAGGGGACCCAUGCUCUCCUCUUCUAAACUAGGUGAUGGCUCGGCCGCGCGUAAGGGUCCUCUUCCCCUCGUCCCUCUCCAGCCCAGCCCAGCUCAGCCCAAAUCGUGCUUUCGAUGCAUACUUAAAAAAACUGCAAUUAAAUUUAAAAAAAAUAAAAGACUCGUCUCGAUGGGGGAUUGAACCCAUGUCAUUCCGCAUAUCGGACGGAAACUCUAUCCAACUGAGCUACGGGACCACAACAAGUAAUCAUGUUAUUAAAUUAUAUUAAUAAAAAAAUUAAAAUUAAAGGGUUAGAUAAAACAACCGUGAAACUUUCAUUAACACAGUUCUGUCGCUAACCAUCUGAUGGUCUGACCUCAACCCAUAAUUCUAUUAUUACAGUAUAAAAUUUAAUUAAUAAAAAUAAAAAGGUUAGAGAAAAUGUGGCAACACUUCUUUUUUGAGAAACAUGAUGGCAACCUUCUGAACUGUGCGGCAGGCAAACCAACCUGUGGUUGGAUGGUUAGAUGGACUGUGGUAUCCCUAGCCCAUCAAGGUUCAAAUCCUGGUGCUCGCAUAUGUUCCUGGAUUUAUUUUAGGAUUUUCGGCGAUGCGCAUUAAGUGGGAGGAGACGUUCCCGAGGUGCCUACGGUGACUUCGUAAAUUUCAAGAUGAUAUGUUGGCUCAGUCUUUCGGAGGUGCUCAUAGGGGUAGGGUGUGCGUGUGUGCGUUCAUAGGGGUGAGUGUAUGCGCGUGUAUAUAAGCGUUUGCGUCUGUAAUGUGUUAAAAAAAAGAACUGUGCGGCAGAGAAUGGGCCAUGCUGCACUCGACUACCCACCAGGUUUUUUUUAAGAUAGUUCCUUCGUCCUCUUCUGUUUUUUUUCUGGAUCUUAGUAUCAGCACUAGGUAUUUGUUUUCCAUUGCUUCCUGCUAUGAUCAAUUAUCAAUAUGAAAUGCCGGCAACAUGCUGGAUCUUUUAAAAAAUAACUUUUAAAAAAUUUCUAAAAUUUUCAGAAUUUAAUCCAUUGCUUGAGAAAGAAUAAAACACAAGUCAGGCACCGAUAUGUAAUGAUAAUAUGUUAAAUUCACAGCCUGUCAUGCAACCCACAAUUUGCAACCGAAUUGUCUCUUCUUUUCAUUUAUCGGGUUGUUGAUCAAACUUAACAUUUUUACAUGGCAAACAUAUGUUGUGCUUAUAAUGAUAGUUCCCUGUUUUCUAUCCAUGGCUAAGAAAUAAUGGUUUCUAAUUCAAAAACCGUCAUGGUCAAAACUUUAGGCUUUGUGGAACGAAGACGACGACUCUGAAGGUCUUUCUUUCCUCUCUCACAAGGCGUCUAUGGCAAAGCCUUCGUCCCCCCUGAUCUCCAUCGACAAGAUCGUGGAGUUGCCUCCCCUCUGCCAGCCGCUUCAACGGUCUGUAGAAGGGAGAGGAAUCUUGGUGUCUCAGCUCUGACUUGUAGAUAGGUUAGGAUUUUAGUUCUUGUAGGGGCGGCAAUUGGACGGAUGGCGACUCUUCUUCUUCUUCGAGUCAGUAUUCCAGGCUCCGGUCCUCAUCAAGUUCGUCCAUCAGAGCGGAUUAGAAGAUUCCUGCCAGUUUCUUGUGGUGGCGAGGUUAGGGUUUAUUGUGGUGCAUAGGGACAACGAGAUUUGGUGUUAGGUUCACAUCGAUUCAAGGUUCAACGACGAUGACUACGUCUCUGGGGCGCUAGUCCUUAGCGGCAUGCGCAUGAAGACUUUAUGGCUAUCAUCGCCAGCUCCAGUAUGUGAGCAGCGACAUGUUCUAGCCAUUGCAGUGGUCGUUAGGUGGCUCACGGGCCUCGAUAUAAAUUUUAUUAUGUUUAGGUGUUUUAUACUUUAGAAAUUGCAUUAGUAAUAAAUUCAUAUUAUUCUUUUGAAAAGGAGAAUCGCCCUCGGCAUUUGAGUAAUAAAUUCAUAUGAAUUUAUAAAAGAAUUAGAACUUUCCUGGGUAAAGUUUAUUGAGGGAGUUUUUGUAAUAGAUAUGAAUGCCUUUUGAAGAAAAGAACUUCAUACAGGUGGUAAUGGGAGAAUAAAACCUUUGAUUCAACUACUGUCAAUAAUUAACCAGAAAAUGGCAACCGUUUUUACAUUGACUGAGCAAAAUUCAUUUUCUUCUUGUAUUCAUAUUCACACACAUGAGUAUGUUUGACAAUAAUUUAGUAAGGCCCAUGAGUUAUCUUUAGUAAAACGGAAAAGCUAAUCCGGACGGCGGGAUUUUAGCGACAGAUCCGCACACAUCACACGUCGUUGGAUCCUAUUCCUACGGUUGAGUUUACGUCCCGAUCUGACUGCCCUUUCUUCAUUGAUCGUGCACCUCCCCGUUAGGCUGGUGAUCGUGCACCUCCCCGUUAGGCUAGUCAUAGUGGGGAGUAACUGUUGGAAAUAUGCCCUGGAGGCAAUAAUAAAAUGGUUAUUAUUAUAUUUCCUUGUUCAUGAUAAUUGUCUAUUGUUCAUGCUAUAAUUGUGUUAUCCGGAAAUCGUAAUACAUGUGUGAAUAGAUAGACCACAACGUGUCCCUAGUGAGCCUCUAGUUGACUAGCUCGUUGAUCAACAGAUAGUCAUGGUUUCCUGACUAUGGACAUUGGAUGUCAUUGAUAACGGGAUCACAUCAUUAGGAGAAUGAUGUGAUGGACAAGACCCAAUCCUAAGCAUAGCACAAAGAUCGUGUAGUUCGUUUGCUAGAGCUUUUCCAAUGUCAAGUAUCAUUUCCUUAGACCAUGAGAUCGUGUAACUCCUGGAUGCCGUAGGAGUGCUUUGGGUGUACCAAACGUCACAACGUAACUGGGUGACUAUAAAGGUACACUACAGGUAUCUCUGAAAGUGUCUGUUGGGUUGACACGGAUCGAGACUGGGAUUUGUCACUCCGUAUGACGGAGAGGUAUCUCUGGGCCCACUCAGUAAUGCAUCAUCAUAAUGAGCUCAAAGUGACCAAGUGGUUGGUCACGGGAUCAUGCAUUACGGUACGAGUAAAGUGACUUGCCGGUAACGAGAUUGAACGAGGUAUUGGGAUACCGACGAUCGAAUCUCGGGCAAGUAACGUACCGAUUGACAAAGGGAAUUGUAUACGGGAUUGAUUGAAUCCUUGACAUCGUGGUUCAUCUAAUGAGAUCAUCGUGGAACAUGUGGGAGCCAACAUGGGUAUCCAGAUCCCGCUGUUGGUUAUUGACCGGAGAGUCGUCUCGGUCAUGUCUGCAUGUCUCCCGAACCCGUAGGGUCUACACACUUAAGGUUCGGUGACGCUAGGGUUGUAGAGAUACUAGUAUGCGGUAACCUGAAAGUUGUUCGGAGUCUCGGAUGAGAUCCCGGACGUCACGAGGAGUUCUGGAAUGGUCCGGAGGUGAAGAAUUAUAUAUAGGAAGUCCAGUUUCGGCCACCGGGAAAGUUUCGGGGGUUACCGGUAUUGUACCAGGACCAUCGGAAGGGUCCCGGGGGUCCACCGGGUGGGGCCACCUAUCCCGGAGGGCCCCAUGGGCUGAAGUGGGAGGGGAACCAGCCCCUGGUGGGCUGGUGCGCCCCCCUUGGGCCUCCCCUGCGCCUAGGGUUAGAAACCCUAGGGGUGGGGGCGCCCCCCACUUGGCUUGGGGGGGGGGGGAAGCCACCCCUUGGCCGCCGCCCCCCUGGAGAUCAGAUCUCCCAGGGCUGGCGCCCCCCAGGAGGCCUAUAUAUAGGAGGGGGGAGGGAGGGCAGCCGCACGACAGCCCCUGGCGCCUCCCUCUCCCUCCCGUGACACCUCUCCCUCUCGCCGUGCUUGGCGAAGCCCUGCCGAGAUCCCUGCUACUUCCACCACCACGCCGUCGUGCUGCUGGAUCUCCAUCAACCUCUCCUUCCCCCUUGCUGGAUCAAGAAGGAGGAGACGUCGCUGCUCCGUACGUGUGUUGAACGCGGAGGUGCCGUCCGUUCGGCGCUCGGUCAUCGGUGAUUUGGAUCACGACGAGUACGACUCCAUCAACCCCGUUCACUUGAACGCUUCCGCUCGCGAUCUACAAGGGUAUGUAGAUGCACUCCUUCCUUCUCGUUGCUAGUAAAUUCCAUAGAUGGAUCUUGGUGAUGCAUAGAAAAUUUUAAAUUUCUGCAACGAUCCACAACAGUGGCAUCAUGAGCCAGGCCUAUGCGUAGUUUCUAUGCAUGAGUAGAACACAAACUUGUUGUGGGCGUAGAUGUUGUCAAUUUUCUUGCCACUACUAGUCUUAUCUUGUUUCGGCGGCAUUGUGGGAUGAAGCGGCUCGGACCGACCUUACACGUACGCUUACGUGAGACAGGUUCCACCGACUGACAUGCACUAGUUGCAUAAGGUGGCUAGCGGGUGUCUGUCUCUCCCACUUUAGUCGGAACGGAUUCGAUGAAAAGGGUCCUUAUGAAGGGUAAAUAGAAAUUGGCAUAUCACGUUGUGGUUUUACGUAGGUAAGAAACACUCUUGCUAGAAACCUAUAGAAACCACGUAAAAACAUGCAACAACAAUUAGAGGACGUCUAACUUGUUUUUGCAGCAUGUGCCUUGUGAUGUGAUAUGGCCAAAAGGAUGUGAUGAAUGAGAUAUAUGUGAUGUAUGAGAUUGAUCAUGUUCUUGUAAUAGGAAUCACGACUUGCAUGUCGAUGAGUAUGACAACCGGCAGGAGCCAUAGAAGUUGUCUUUAUUUUUGUAUGACCUGCGUGUCAUUGAAUAACGCCAUGUAAAUUACUUUACUUUAUUACUAAACACGUUAGCCAUAGAAGUAGAAGUAAUCGUUGGCGUGACAACUUCAUGAAGACACGAUGAUGGAGAUCAUGAUGAUGGAGAUCAUGGUGUCAUGCCGGUGACGAAGAUGAUCAUGGCGCCCCGAAGAUGGAGAUCAAAGGAGCAAAAUGAUAUUGGCCAUAUCAUGUCACUAUUUGAUUGCAUGUGAUGUUUAUCAUGUUUUACAUCUUAUUUGCUUAGAACGACGAUAGCUUAAAUAAGAUGAUCCCUCACUAAAAUUUCAAGAAAAGUGUUCUCCCUAACUGUGCACCGUUGCGAAGGUUCGUUGUUUCGAAGCACCACGUGAUGAUCGGGUGUGAUAGAUUCUAACGUUCGCAUACAACGGGUGUUGACGAGCCUAGCAUGUACAGACAUGGCCUCGGAACACACGCAAUACACUUAGGUUGACUUGACGAGCCUAGCAUGUACAGACAUGGCCUCGGAACACGGAAGACCGAAAGGUCGAGCAUGAGUCGUAUAGAAGAUACGAUCAACAUGAAGAUGUUCACCGAUGUUGACUAGUCCGUCUCACGUGAUGAUCGGACACGGCCUAGUUAACUCGGAUCAUGUUUCACUUAGAUGACUAGAGGGAUGUCUAUCUGAGUGGGAGUUCAUUGAAUAAUUUGAUUAGAUGAACUUAAUUAUCAUGAACUUAGUCUAAGAUCUUUACAAUAUGUCUUGUAGAUCAAAUGGCCCACGUUGCCCUCAACUUCAACGCGUUCCUAGAGAAAACCAAGCUGAAAGAUGAUGGCAGCAACUAUACGGACUGGGUCCGGAACCUGAGGAUCAUCCUCAUAGCUGCCAAGAAAGAUUAUGUCCUAAAAGCACCGCUAGGUGAAGCACCCAUCCCAGAGAACCAAGACGUUAUGAACGCUUGGCAGUCACGUGCUGAUGAUUACUCCCUCGUUCAGUGCGGCGUGCUUUACAGCUUAGAACCGGGGCUCCAAAAGCGUUUUGAGCAACACGGAGCAUAUGAGAUGUUCGAAGAGCUGAAAAUGGUUUUCCAAGCUCAUGCCCGGGUCGAGAGAUAUGAAGUCUCCGACAAGUUCUUCAGUUGUAAGAUGGAGGAAAACAGUUCUGUCAGUGAGCACAUACUCAAAAUGUCUGGGUUGCACAACCGCUUGACUCAGCUGGGAGUUAAUCUCCCGGAUGACGCGGUCAUUGACAGAAUCCUUCAGUCGCUUCCACCGAGCUACAAGAGCUUUGUGAUGAACUUCAAUAUGCAGGGGAUGGAAAAGACCAUUCCUGAGGUAUAUUCAAUGCUGAAAUCAGCGGAGGUGGAGAUCAAAAAGGAACAUCAAGUGUUUAUGGUGAAUAAAACCACUAAGUUCAAGAAAGGCAAGGGUAAGAAGAACUUCAAGAAGGACGGCAAGGGAGUUGCCGCGCCCGGUAAGCCAGUUGCCGGGAAGAAGCCAAAGAAUGGACCCAAGCCUGAGACUGAGUGCUUUUAUUGCAAGGGAAGUGGUCACUGGAAGCGGAACUGCCCCAAAUACUUAGCGGACAAGAAGGCCGGCAACACCAAAGGUAUAUGUGAUAUACAUGUAAUUGAUGUGUACCUUACCAGUACUCGUAGUAGCUCCUGGGUAUUUGAUACCGGUGCGGUUGCUCAUAUUUGUAACUCAAAACAGGAGCUGCGGAAUAAGCGGAGACUGGCGAAGGACGAGGUGACGAUGCGCGUCGGGAAUGGUUCCAAGGUCGAUGUGAUCGCCGUCGGCACGCUGCCUCUACAUUUACCUACGGGAUUAAUUUUAAACCUCAAUAAUUGUUAUUUAGUGCCAGCUUUGAGCAUGAACAUUGUAUCAGGAUCUCGUUUAAUUCGAGAUGGCUACUCAUUUAAAUCGGAGAAUCAUGGUUGUUCUAUUUAUAUGAGAGAUAUGUUUUAUGGUCAUGCCCCGCUGGUCAAUGGUUUAUUCUUAAUGAAUCUCGAACGUGAUGUUACACAUAUUCAUAGUGUGAAUACCAAAAGAUGUAAAGUUGAUAACGAUAGUCCCACAUACUUGUGGCACUGCCGCCUUGGUCACAUUGGUGUCAAGCGCAUGAAGAAGCUCCACGCUGAUGGACUUUUAGAGUCUCUCGAUUAUGAAUCAUUUGGCACAUGCGAACCAUGCCUCAUGGGCAAAAUGACCAAGACUCCGUUCUCCGGAACAAUGGAGCGAGCAACCAACUUAUUAGAAAUCAUACAUACUGAUGUGUGCGGUCCAAUGAGUGUUGAGGCUCGCGGAGGCUAUCGUUAUGUUCUCACUCUCAUUGAUGACUUGAGUAGAUAUGGGUAUGUCUACCUAAUGAAACACAAGUCUGAGACCUUUGAAAAGUUCAAGGAAUUUCAGAGUGAGGUUGAGAAUCAACGUGACAGGAAAAUAAAGUUCCUACGAUCAGAUCGUGGAGGGGAAUAUUUAAGUCACGAAUUUGGCACACACUUAAGGAAAUGUGGAAUAGUUUCACAACUCACGCCGCGUGGAACACCUCAGCGAAAUGGUGUGUCCGAACGUCGUAAUCGCACUCUAUUGGAUAUGGUGCGAUCUAUGAUGUCUCUUACCGAUCUACCGCUCUCAUUUUGGGGCUAUGCUUUAGAGACUGCCGCAUUCACUUUAAAUAGGGCUCCGUCGAAAUCCGUUGAGACGACACCGUAUGAGUUAUGGUUUGGGAAGAAACCUAAGCUGUCGUUUCUGAAAGUUUGGAGAUGCUUAUGUCAAGAAACUUCAACCUGAAAAGCUCGAACCCAAGUCAGAAAAAUGCGUCUUCAUAGGAUACCCUAAGGAAACCAUUGGGUAUACCUUCUACCUCAGAUCCGAAGGCAAAAUCUUUGUUGCCAAGAAUGGGUCCUUUCUGGAGAAAGAUUUUCUCUCGAAAGAAGUGAGUGGGAGGAAAGUGGAACUUGAUGAGGUGAUAGUCACCCCUUCCGAACCAGAAAGUAGCGCGGCGCGGGAAGAUGUUCCUGUGGUGCCUGCACCGACUAGGGAGGAAGUUAAUGAUGAUGAUCAUGAAGCUUCAGAUCAAGUUACUGCUGAACUUCGUAGGUCCACAAGGACACGUUUCGCACCAGAGUGGUACGGCAACCCUGUCAUGGAAAUCAUGUUGUUAGACAACGGUGAACCUUCGAACUAUGAAGAAGCGAUGGCGGGCCCGGAUUCCAACAAAUAGCUUGAAGCCAUGCAAUCCGAGAUAGGAUCCAUGUAUGAAAACGAAGUAUGGACUUUGACUGACUUGCCCGAUGAUCGGCGAGCCAUAGAAAAUAAAUGGAUCUUUAAGAAGAAGACAGACACGGAUGGUAAUGUGACCAUCUAUAAGGCUCGACUUGUCGCUAAGGGUUAUCGACAAGUUCAAGGGGUUGACUACGAUGAGACUUUCUCACCCGUAGCGAAGCUGAAGUCCGUCCGAAUCAUGUUAGCAAUUGCCGCAUUCUAUGAUUAUGAGAUAUGGAAAAUGGACGUCAAAACGGCAUUCCUUAACGGCUUUCUUAAGGAAGAAUUGUAUAUGAUGCAGCCGGAAGGUUUUGUCGAUCCUAAGAAUGCUAACAAGGUAUGCAAGCUCCAGCGCUCCAUCUAUGGGCUGGUGCAAGAAUCUCGGAGUUGGAACAUUCGAUUUGAUGAGAUGAUCAAAGCGUUUGGGUUUACACAGACUUAUGGAGAAGCCUGUGUUUACAAGAAAGUGAGUGGGAGCUCUGUAGCAUUUCUCUUAUUAUAUGUGGAUGACAUACUAUUGAUGGGAAAUGAUAUAGAAUUCUUGCAAAGUAUAAAGGCCUACUUGAACAAGUGUUUUUCAAUGAAGGACCUUGGAGAAGCUGCUUAUAUAUUAGGCAUCAAGAUCUAUAGAGAUAGAUCAAGACGCCUCAUUGGUCUUUCACAGAGUACGCACCUUGACAAGAUAUUGAAGAAGUUCAAUAUGGAUCAGUCCAAGAAGGGGUUAUUGCCUGUAUUGCAAGGUGUGCAAUUGAGCACGGCUCAAUGCCCGACCACGGCAGAAUAUAGAGAAAAGAUGAGUGUCAUCCCCUAUGCCUCGGCCAUAGGGUCUAUUAUGUAUGCCAUGCUGUGUACCAGACCUGAUGUAAACCUUGCCGUAAGUUUGGUAGGAAGGUACCAAAGUAAUCCCGGCAUGGAACACUGGACAGCGGUCAAGAAUAUCCUGAAGUACCUGAAGAGGACUAAGGAUAUGUUUCUCGUUUAUGGAGGUGACCAAGAGCUCGUCGUAAAGGGUUACGUCGAUGCUAGCUUCGACACAGAUCUGGAUGACUCUAAGUCACAAACCGGAUACGUGUAUAUUUUGAAUGGAGAGGCAGUAAGCUGGUGCAGUUGCAAGCAAAGCGUCGUGGCGGGAUCUACAUGUGAAGCGGAGUACAUGGCGGCCUCAGAGGCAGCGCAAGAAGCAAUCUGGAUGAAGGAGUUCAUUACCGACCUAGGGGUGAUUCCCAAUGCGUCGGGCCCGAUGACUCUCUUCUGUGACAACACUGGAGCUAUUGCCCUUGCCAAGGAGCUCAGGUUUCACAGGAAGACCAGGCAUAUCAAGCGUCUCUUCAACUCCAUUCGUGAAAGUGUUCAAAAUGGAGACAUAGAUAUUUGUAAAGUACAUACGGACCUGAAUGUAGAAGAUCCGUUGACUAAACCUCUCCCUAGAGCAAAACAUGAUCAACACCAGAACUCUAUGGGUGUUCGAUUCAUCACAAUGUAACUAGAUUAUUGACUCUAGUGCAAGUGGGAGACUGUUGGAAAUAUGCCCUAGAGGCAAUAAUAAAAUGGUUAUUAUUAUAUUUCCUUGUUCAUGAUAAUUGUCUAUUGUUCAUGCUAUAAUUGUGUUAUCCGGAAAUCGUAAUGCAUGUGUGAAUAGAUAGACCACAACGUGUCCCUAGUGAGCCUCUAGUUGACUAGCUCGUUGAUCAACAGAUAGUAAUGGUUUCCUGACUAUGGACAUUGGAUGUCAUUGAUAACGGGAUCACAUCAUUAGGAGAAUGAUGUGAUGGACAAGACCCAAUCCUAAGCAUAGCACAAAGAUCGUGUAGUUCGUUGGCUAGAGCUUUUCCAAUGUCAAGUAUCAUUUCCUUAGACCAUGAGAUCGUGUAACUCCCGGAUGCCGUAGGAGUGCUUUGGGUGUACCAAACGUCACAACGUAACUGGGUGACUAUAAAGGUACACUACAGGUAUCUCUGAAAGUGACUUGCCGGUAACGAGAUUGAACGAGGUAUUGGGAUACCGACGAUCGAAUCUCGGGCAAGUAACGUACCGAUUGACAAAGGGAAUUGUAUACAGGAUUGAUUGAAUCCUCGACAUUGUGGUUCAUCCGAUGAGAUCAUCGUGGAACAUGUGGGAGCCAACAUGGGUAUCCAGAUCCCGCUGUUGGUUAUUGGCCAGAAAGUCGUCUCGGUCAUGUCUGCAUGUCUCCCGAACCCGUAGGGUCUACACACUUAAGGUUCGGUGACGCUAGGGUUGUAGAGAUACUAGUAUGCGGUAACCCGAAAGUUGUUCAGAGUCCCGGAUGAGAUCCCGGACGUCACGAGGAGUUCCGGAAUGGUCCGGAGGUGAAGAAUUAUAUAUAGGAAGUCCAGUUUCGGCCACCGGAAAAAUUUCGGGGGUUACCGGUAUUGUACCGGGACCACCGGAAGGGUCCCGGGGGUCCACCGGGUGGGGCCACCUAUCCUGGAGGGCCCCAUGGGCUGAAGUGGGAGGGGAACCAGCCCCUGGUGGGCUGGUGCGCCCACCCUUGGGCCUCCCCCUGCGCCUAGGGUUAGAAACCAUAGGGGUGGGGGCGCCCCCCACUUGGCUUGGGGGGGGGGGGAAGCCACCCCUUGGCCGCCGCCCCUGGAGAUCAGAUCUCCCAGGGCCGGCGCCCCCCCAGGAGGCCUAUAUAUAGGAGGGGGGAGGGAGGGCAGCUGCACGACAGCCCCUGGCGCCUCCCUCUCCCUCCCGUGACACCUCUCCCUCUCGCUGUGCUUGGCGAAGCCCUGCCGAGAUCCCUGCUACUUCCACCACCACGCCGUCGUGCUGCUGGAUCUCCAUCAACCUCUCCUUCCCCCUUGCUGGAUCAAGAAGGAGGAGACGUCGCUGCUCCGUACGUGUGUUGAACGCGGAGGUGCCGUCCGUUCGGCGCUCGGUCAUCGAUGAUUUGGAUCACGACGAGUACGACUCCAUCAACCCCGUUCACUUGAACGCUUCCGCUCGCGAUCUACAAGGGUAUGUAGAUGCACUCCUUCCUUCUCGUUGCUAGUAAACUCCAUAGAUGGAUCUUGGUGAUGCGUAGAAAAAUUUAAAUUUCUGCAACGAUCCACAAUAGUAACUUAGACUAGUAACAUGCAUAUGUUACUAGUCUAUAUUACUACUUCUAUAGUGCAUAGUAUCAUAGAUUAGUAUCAUAAGUGAUGUCAUUUAUUGCCAUGCAUGACACCUAGUAGCAUCAUAUUUAUUAUGUUACGUUAUCUAUCUAUGUUACUAUAACCAUCUCUCUCUUCUUUAAUGGCCUGCCACAUAAGCAUGUUUGCGAGUCCCAAAUGCAUGAUACUACUUAUGUUACCCCACUAUGGCCAGCCUUAAUUCUGUGAUUUAAAGGCCCACCUCCCCACUAAUUCCGGGAUCUCCCGCACGUCGACUUAUGCCGAUUUUUUCUCCUGAUUGAUGGCCACCGCUGGAUAAAAGGGAUCGAGAAAAAUUAAUUCAUGAGAAGGGUGACUCGAACCUGUUACCCAUCAGACUAGGUAGCAGUUCCCAAACCAUGCACCAACUGAAGCUGUUUGACUCGUUCUUAUGCAUGUCUUUACUUGACUUAACUAGCGCUACAAAAUAGAAUGGUAAUUUUUGGAUCAACGUAGAUUUGCUGCUAUUUUUGCUGGCUCUUGCCAUUUACCCGAGCUCCAGAAGCGCUAAUGCUAGGUGAUUUUUUGAUCUGCAAUUUCUCCACUGAUUUUGUAUCUUUUUUUAUCUUACGUGCAAACACCACAAAAAAUUAACCUAGAAAAAAAAGUUGUUGAAUAAUAUACUCCCAACAAUUUCUGUAUAAAUAGCAUGAUAAAAUACACAUCGUUUACUUGAUAACUUAAGUACAAACUAGACAGUAAUUUUUUACCACGUGAUUUGGUGAGAAUAUACCCCGGUAAUUUUCAUGUAAAUGCAUGGUAAUACACUCACGGCAUGGUUGAUAAUUCUCACACAAACAUCGUGAUAACUUUUUGACCCAAGAAAAAAAUUAUUGACAAACAUACACCGUUAACUUAUAUGGAAAAAUAACAUGUUAAUAUACGCACAACAGAACUGAUAACUUACCUAGUCGAAAUGUGAUAAUUUUUUGACCAGGGAAAACAUCUGUUGAACCGCCCUCCCCCGGUAACUCAUGUGUACUAGCAUGGUAAUAUACACGCAGCGAUGUUGAUAACUUACUUAGCCCAAACAUGGUAACUACUUUUGACUNNNNNNNNNNNNNNNNNNNNNNNNNNNNNNNNNNNNNNNNNNNNNNNNNNNNNNNNNNNNNNNNNNNNNNNNNNNNNNNNNNNNNNNNNNNNNNNNNNNNNNNNNNNNNNNNNNNNNNNNNNNNNNNNNNNNNNNNNNNNNNNNNNNNNNNNNNNNNNNNNNNNNNNNNNNNNNNNNNNNNNNNNNNNNNNNNNNNNNNNNNNNNNNNNNNNNNNNNNNNNNNNNNNNNNNNNNNNNNNNNNNNNNNNNNNNNNNNNNNNNNNNNNNNNNNNNNNNNNNNNNNNNNNNNNNNNNNNNNNNNNNNNNNNNNNNNNNNNNNNNNNNNNNNNNNAAAAUAGCAUUGUAAAUUCUGUACAAAAAGAAUGGUACCACACACACAACACACCUGGUAACUCAUACACAAACAUCACGAUAACUUUGACCCGGAUGGCUUUGUUGAAAACAUACCCCUGAUAACUUUCGUGUAAAUAGCUUGGUACUAUAUGUACCAUAUACAUGAUAACGCAUGCACAAACACCGGUAACUUUGACCCGAGAAGGGCCGGUGGGGGGAGGUGAGGAAGUUGUUCGAAAACAUACCCUCUCCUAAUAACUUCUGUGUAAAUAAAAAGGUAAUAUACACAGCGUAGACUUGAUAACUCACUAUAAACAUCGUGGUAACUUUGACCACGGGGGAUGAAGUUGUUUGAAAACAUACACUCGAUAACUUAUGUGUAAAUAGUAUGAUAAUAUACAAACCGCGGGCGUGAUAACUCACGCACAAACACCAUGGUAACUUUGCCUCAGUAAAAAAAGUUAUUGAGAACAUACCACGGUAACUCAUGUGUAAACAACAUGAUAAGACACACACCGGAGCUGAUAACUUACUUAGCUCGUGCCGGUAACUAUUUGCACGGAAGAAAGGUCAUCAGAACAUAUCAAUAUGGGAUUUAGUUUCGUAGGUCUCGUCGCGGUAGAUUUUUUAUGUGACAAUGAUUUUUUGAUCGGACCGACGAUUUGAUCUAUAAACCGAAGUUUCAAAAUAUGGGAGAAUCUAUGAUGAUAUCACAUUUUCUUUCUUGUCCCUCUAAUGCAUGCACGCAUGUGCAUGUGAAGGAAAAGUUAAAGGAACCAUUUUCACGCCCGGUAAUUUUCUAUGUAAACAACAUGAUAAUUUAUGCAUCACAACAUGAUAAGUUAUGUUGCAAAGGCGUGGUAACUUCUUACAUAAAAAAAAGUCGUCGGAACAUAUCAAUAUGAGAUCUAGUUUUGAAGGUCUCGUCGCAACGAAUCUUUUACGUGAAAACGGUUCUUCAAUCUGACCAACGGUUUGAACUACAAAACACUUUAAAUUUUAUACUUUAGAUGGAAUCUUUGUUGACAUCAGUUUUUUUUUGCAUGCAGCGUUGUUUAUUAGGGGAAAGACAUAAAAUUACACACGCAUGGAGCGGGUCUCUGCGUCUCCGCGCCUACAUGCAUGAUUAGUGAAAAUUAAUUGUUUUGCUUUGGGAGGUUGCCGGAGGGAGGAUUGUUAGGACCUUUUGCAAACGAGCGACUAGUUUGGAUCUAUCGCUAAUAGUCCGUACGUAUGGACAUUAGCACAGUCCUUAGUAAAAAAAACUUACUAUUUUCUGCUAGUAGAGAAUUUACCAUUUCUAUAUGUUUUGGGGAAUUUACCAUUUCGUUAUUGUUUUAGGGAAUUUACCAUUUCUAGUUUGCACGGAGCAUUUCCCUCAUUCGCAAAAAAGAGGAAGCAUUUCCCUAAUAGAGAAAAAAAAACUUUGCACGAAGCACGACUUUGCCUCCUCCUCGAUCCCACAUCCCCCACACUCGCAUCAAGUGAAGUGCAGCAGCCCAGCCCAUUCCCGUAGGUGACCAGCCACCCACACGCGACACCAGUCCUCCCAUCGAGGCGAAAAAGGAAAAACCAAACUCCACUUCUCUCCCAAUCCCAAAAGAAGACAAGAAAAGGGGGGAAAACUGUCUUCCACCUCCGAAUUCGCCCCCCAAACCAAAACCAAAUCCCUCGCCAAAAUCCCCAAUCCCCGGCCAUGGCGACGAGCCUGCCUCCGCCGCUCCGCUCCCGCCGGACGCUGGAGCUGCCAGACGACGUCAUGGAGGAGAUCUUCCUCCGCCUACCGGCGGACAACCCCGCCAGCCUCGCCCGCGUCGCCGGCGGCUGCAAGAGCUGGCUGGCCAUGGUCUCGGACCCCAACUUCGCCCCCGCCUACCGCAGGCUCCGCGACGCGCCGCCCAUGCUGGGCUUCCUCUACAACUACCGCUACACCGACGAGGGAGCGCCCUACUGGACGUCCCACUUCCGCGCCGCCGCGGCCCUCCCCCCGCGGGUGCGCCGCGACCGCAAGCACUGGCGCGCUCUCGACUCCCGCCACGGCCUCGUCCUCUUCGACACCCCUGAGAGUGACGGCCACCUCGUCGUCUCCGACCUCGUCACCGGCGAGCACUGGAAAAUCGACGGCCACAUCACGUUCCCGGAUGCGUGUAAUGCUACAGUGCUCUGCGCCAGGGACGGAUGUGACCACCGUGAUUGCCAUGGCGGCCCUUUCCUCGUGGCCUGCGUGGACUCCGUCGUGGCAGGGGACCGGAGGAUAACCUGCGCCAUGUUCUACUCAUCAGUUACUGGCAAGUGGAUCGACCCGAUCUUCGUCGAGCAACCCAAUGUCAUCGAUGCCAGGGGGCACAGUGCUGUGCUGGGAAAUAAGGUCUAUGUCCCCUGUGUGAAGGAUGGCAGUGUCGUGGAGUACAACACGCGUGAGAACAAGCUAUCUGUGAUCAAGGCGCCAUUUGAGGUCCAGGACCAGAAGAUUGAGCUCAUGGGGGUGGAGGACGGAAUGCUGCUGUUUGCGUCUGUGGUGAAGCCUAGACUCUACCUAUGGUCAAUGGAGGCUGGUCCCAGAGGAGCUGCGGGACGGGCACAAAGCAGGUUCAUCGAGCUCGGGCCGUUGCUCCCUCGUCCUGUCCUCGUGGACAACACCGAAGUGUCGGCGGUUGGUUUUGCGGAAGGUGUUGGUGUCAUCUUCAUCAAGACAAAAGUUGGGUUGUACACAAUUCAUCUCAAAUCAAAACAAAGCAACCAGGUGCACCGAGGGUACAUCAAUAAGGUCAUGCCCUACAUGAGCUUCUACACUGGAGGUACAGAUAACUGUUUCCAAGCAUGCACAUUAAGUCCAGUACGCUAAGCACACCAUCAACUACUAAUAUUGCUUGUAGCUUAGAUAGUUGAAUAAUUUAAGUCUGAGAGUUCCUAGUGUGGUAUGUGAUUCCUAAACGUCCGUGAGUAUGUAGAGUUUUUCUUCUAUUUUUCUGCAUAACUAGAUAGAUAUCUGUAUGUGGGUCUGCUUGCAUUUUUCUGGUUUCUGGGUGAUUUGUAGAGAUUAGGAAGUAGGAACCCAUUCUUUGUGCUGUUGUACUAUUCAUUCAGGUGUUGAGUCGCGCUGCAGACCUGGGUGAUUAUUUAUAGGCAACCGUGAGUAACCCGUGAUUUUUCAUGCCAUGUUGUCUUUGUGUCUAUAGAAGCCAGAGAAAAAAGAUACAGUAGUCGUACGGAAUUGGCGUUGGGCAGAUUAACUAGGCGGCUGACUAAAGAAUUCCUUGGUGGAUGUAUAAUUGGUGAUCUAUUUUUCAUUGGCUGCGCUAUUAUAUGUUAUGCUGAUUGGCUUUACUAGCCGGUAAGCCUUAGUUAAACUUUGCUGAUCAUGUCCUAAGAUUGGCAAGAGCAGUUUGCAAAUCAGUCAAGUGAUCAGAGCUUUGCUGUGAGCCAAGAGGUCUCUGGCACCCAAACAUCCUUGUGGUGUUUUGGUUAGGAUAACGGAUAACCUAGUCCCAGGCAUGCACUAGGCACUUGCCCGCGAGCCUGCCCAAAUGAAAGAUACGGUUUCAUUGUAGCAUUGUAGGUCCAGAUCGAAACGUGUUGUGAUGUGGAUGCUUCCUGCUAUCACUUUUGUUUAUUUGAACAGCUAUAAAUGAAAUGAUUUUGAGGGCACUCUCUAGUCAUCAUGUCAUCUUAUGAAGCCUUGUCUCUUAUGGUGCAGCAUGGGAGCCUUUGCCAGCAUCUGAUGAAGCUUAACGCGCAGUUGUUGAUGCUACAAUGAUAUAACCAAAUGGCGCCAGGACUUGGGUUUACUUUUUCUGCCCAGGAAGAAUUUGAAGUGAACUUGAGCCUCAUUCACUGCCGGUUGUGUUGAACAGUUUGGUUAGAGUGGAUGCGCUUUUGUCCUAUUUGUGCUUGUGCCAUAAACUUGAGUUUGUUUGUUCGUCCGAGUUGGGUGCGGCUCAAACUGUCCGUCAGGAGAAAUUUUAGCGAUCAGUUGACGGUUUUGUGGCAUGAAUUGGUGCAGAUUUCUUCUUCUCUAUCUUUGGCUGUUAGAGAUGACGUUGUUGUCUUGAAAAUGCACUCUACUGAGAUUUUUUAUGUGGAAUCUCUCUAUUCUAUGCAGUAAGAAAUUUCAGGGGAGCUAAAAUCCCCACCAGGA